UCGAACUCUCUGUAAGUUCCCAAGCCAUGAUGGAAUUUCCCCAUUCAGACGGUUGUAGCUUAAUUGAAGGAUCCUCAAACGAUGCAAUUGGCCAAAUUCUUUAGGGAGAUGGCCAUAGAAAUGGUUGCUACUCAAGUCGAGAGAGAGUAGAAAUGAAAGAUUUCCAAGGUGUGGAGGGAUAGUACCCCUAAGAUUCAUGCUUGUAAGAUUCAAAGCUAUAACUCUUUUAUGGAGGAUGCCACAAGAAACACCAAUCCAAUUGCAAACAGAGGUUGAGGCCGUCCAAUUGUUUGCCAAGACAUUUUGAGGACCGGCAAUGCGAUCCUUAAACUCGAGAAGUGCAAACUGAUCGGAGUUGAGAUUCCUGACUGUCAUACCCCAGCAAAGUCCGGAACAUGGUAUGAAUAAAGCUAAAAGAAGAUGAAAGCAAGUGUUGUAGUUCAUGAUAGCAAGACGGAAUAAGCCAAGAAAAUAAAAAAAAGUAGGACAAGGGAAGUUGAGUUGAUAAAAUAGUUUGGAUGAUGAAGAAAAGCCCAGAGAGCAUGCUUUAAUAUGUUUUGAAGAAAUUUCAAAAUAAAUUUCAAAAUAAAUUUCAAAAUAAAAAUUUAAAAAGGAAAGCAAAGUUUUGAAGAAAUUUCAAAAUAAAUUUCAAGUCUUCUUCUUUAAAAAAUACGUACAAAGAGCGAAUUUUCAAAAUUUUUCCUAAAUUUUCUUCACAUUACUCCACAUAAUCCAUUAAAAAAACUUAAAAAAUAUAUUUUAUUAAUUACUAUACAUUCUUUUAUUUUCAGAAUAAUAAAUUGUUUAAAAUUUGCUAUUAGUCCCUAUAAUUUAAAAGUUAAAAAAAAUUCAAUCCUCCUACUUUUCUAAUUUAAAAAUUUUAGUUCAAUCAAUUUUAAUUUUAAAAUCUCUGUAUAAAAGGUGUUUUUUUUGUGACCGAUCACACUUAACCAAUAUUUAAAAAUUAAUAAAAAAUAUUUUUUUUUGAAAUUUAAAGUGAUCUAAAAACAUAUUUUUAAGUGCUUUGGACCGUCUAUUGUUGAUUUCCUUAUUAUAUUAAGUGUUUGCAAUCACUCCUAAUAUAUUGUGCUUGAGUUGUGACAAAGCCGAUCAUCAAAUUGCCAUAAUGAUCUAUUGAUGCUGAAAUUGAAGUUUUUGUUAUAUUGAUAGAGCUUGUCCUUCAACGCGUACAACGUGUUUGUUAUUUUUCUCCCUUCAAAUUGUAUGAUCUUAUUCAUUAAAUGAAUUAAUGAAUUUCCCUUUUAAAAAGAUAUAUUUUUAAAAAUUAAAUACUUUAUAAAAUAUUUAAAAAUUUGUAAGCCUUAAAACAAUCAACAAAAUAUUUUUGAAAUUUUAUAAAUAUAUUUUAAAACUAUAGUAACGCUACAAAAUAUAUAUAUUUACUAAUUAUAUGCACCUUUUUUAUUUUUAUUUCCUAACAUAUCAUUAUUUUCAACACUAUCGUAAUCCUGUUUUGAUAAUUCCCUUUCCAUACAUCCUUUUUCUACAUAGAAUUUCAAAAGAAAAUGUGAAUUAAUGUAAACGUGAGAAGACUUAAUUACAUUUAUUAGUUUAUCAAUCAAAACUUAAUUAGAAUCCAUCAAUAUUUCACACAUCAAAAACCCAAACAUAAAAUUCACUUUUAAAUUAUUUGAAGAUACAUUUGUAUUAUAGGAAAUCGAUUAAAUUAGUCUUUUAUUAUUAAAUGUAUUAUUUUAAUCUUUGUAUUAGGUAUGAAUGAUAUCUCCUAAAUUGAAGCCAGAGCUAUUCUUGAAAGACUGAAAUUAGGAUUCAGAUGUGUUGAGAUGGAAAGUGACAACACAAUGUUGAUUGAAACUAUUUGUAACAGGUUGACUACAAUAAGUAGUGCUGCCGAAGUAAGACAGAUUCACGAUUGGUGUUCCAAAAAUUGGGAAGUCAAAUUUAGACAUAUUCAGCGGAAUGCCAAUAAAGUUGUUGAUUGCAUAGCUAAGGCAAAUGGAGGCGUAAUUGAGCAGCUGGUUAUCUUGGAAGAUCCUCUGCAUUAUGUGAGAUGGUAGCUUGAAGAAGAUAUUAGACAGUCACUAGUGACUGAUGAUAAUUUUCAUUUGGACUGAUGAGCGCUUAAUUUUCUAAGCUUAUGUUCAACAAAAAAAAUUUUAACUACGUUUAAAUUGUAAUAGAGUUAACAUUUAGUGUUUAAAAAAUAUCUUAAAAAUUAUUAUUUUUUCCAAUUGCAGUUCAAUUCCACAAAUAUCGACGAUGAAUCCGGACAUAAAAAUUAUAGAAAAAAAACACAUCUAUUAUCAAACCAACAAUCCAUGUCUAAACUUAAAUUAACAAAAUUUGCCACGCAACGCCCAGUACACUAUUAUAUAUAUACUAGAUUUAUUCUAGAUGCACAUGUUUUAUUAUAUUUAAAAUUUAAAAUAUAUGGUUGACUAAGUGUUAGUUGAGUUAGUAUUGCUAUUAUUGUCAGUGUAAGGAAAUGUGAGUUUAAUUGCGCUCAAAUGUGUUUUAUCCUCCAAUUCAAGGGUUAGGAAAAGGUUAUUGAUAAUUAAGUUAUACCAACUUUUAUGAUAUUAAAAAAAGGAUUUAUAAAUAAUAUAAGGAAAAGAAAGAAAGAGAAACAUAUUCAUAUUGAUGGGCUCUUUCAAUAUUAGACUUUUUUUUCUAUCACAAGUAAAAAUAUCAAAGGUGAUAAUAAUUAAAUUAUAAAAUUUAAAUUGAGAAAAUAGGGGAUUGAGUUUAUAAGUUUUAAAGUAUAAAGAAUGAAUAUAUAACUAACAACAUAUUUUAACCACAUAAUAAAAGUAGUUAUGGUAAAAUAAUGACCUGAAUAAUUUUAAACGUCUCAUCCUUGCAAAAAUGAAAUAAUAGAAAAGAAAUAAGUGUUGGGUGUAGUGGCAAUGUACAUCAUACUUCUAAGGGGAGAUUAGGGUUUUAGACAAGGGAAGAAUUUUAAACUUGCUCUUUUCUCUAGAACUCAACGCAAACCUCAAAUUUAUCUUUUUAAAAGAAUUUAAAAAUAUGUAUAUAAAAGGUGAUUUUUUUACCGAUCACACUUAACAAAAUUUUAAAAAAAAAUGAAAUUUAAAGUGAUCUAAAAACAUAUUUUUAAGUGCUUUAGACCAUCCUGUGCUGAUUUCUUUAGUAAUUUGAUUUGUUCAAUAUAGAUUUUGGUAACUUAAAACAAAAUUAAUAAAAAAUUAUUUUUUUAGAUAUCUUUUUAAUGUUUAAUAAUAAGUUAAUUUAUAAAAUAUACUUUCAUUGGACACAGGGCCUCCAAGGCGGUGAACCACUAAUCAAAUUAAUUUUGAGAUACUUAAAUUUGUUUUCAUCAAUUAAGAAAUUAAAAAAAUUGUUGAGACCUCAUGAUUAUGUUUUAUAAUUUCAGGCUUAUCAACUAUUUUGAAAAACAACAAAACGUCUUACACCAAAAACUAAAAAAUAAAAACGUCGACAUUAAAUUUGUUGGCAUGCAAUCAAUUUUAAGAUGGUUUUUGGAGUUAUAUAUCACCUUAGCAUUGACUUACUUUUCUACAGUUUGUCUUCUCCAACAAGUUAAAUAUUUCAAUUUUAACAACAUUGACAGGUCUUUGGGGUAGGGUCGAGCAAAAUUCAAUAAAAACAGAUGAUAUAAGUUGAGUUGGCUCGGCCAAGUCGAGUCGAUUUGUUCAAAUUAUUUAAAUUAGUAAAUUUUAGGGUGCAAUUAGAAUUUUUUGUUUUGAGAUGCUAAUUAGAUUAAAAAAUUUCAGUUGCUAAAACAAAAAAAUUGUAUUUAAAAAGGCAUAAAUUAAAUAAUUAAGUUUUUCGAGUUUCCAUUUAAUCAAAGGUUAAAAGGACUAAAUUGAAGCUUUUUAUUUUUAAGAAAGGCUGAAUGACAAAUUGCCCAAAGCCCAUGGCCCUAGCUAUACAACUAACUUUUCUAUGAUUAGUCCUUGGUUUGCUUUGGGUGAAAUCUUCCAACUAGCCUCAUCCUUGGUUUUACUUUCCAACAAUUAGUGUAUCGCGGGUUUUGUUUUCUUUAAAAAAUAUUUGUGGAUAUUAGGAGAUAAUGAAAAUUAUUUUACUAUGAAAUUUUAAUAAAACUGGAAAAUAAGUAAUUUAUUUUAAGAGAUCACAAUUAAACGUUAGAUUUCCCCUUUUUAAAUUAUAAAUUUUUUUUUGACAAUUGCAUAAUAUUUUGAGCGUUGUAGGAAUGCCAUAAUAUAACCUUCCCUACGCAUAAUCGACUCUUGAGCAUGAUGGAUCCUAGACCUUCUCCUCUAUUCUCGUACCACAAAUUGCUUCAAGUGUGGGUUCGAACAAUCACAAAUUAAACGCAAAACCAAAAAUGAUUUAUUACUUUCAAUAGCAAAGUAAUUCUCUCUCAAUAGAAACCAAUAGAAUUGUAAUUCCUAGAAAAUAAAAUUUAUUUUUUGAAAAUAUAUUCUCACUACUUUCUAGCAGAAUAACAAUAUGUGAAACUUAUGUCUUGUGUUAAUAGCUCUACCAGUACUAUCUAUUUAUAGGGAGAGACACGAGAAUCCUGGUUGAAUUAGUAAAACACGAAUAAUAUUUAUUUCAUAGAAAACAAUAUUCCACCCUAAGUAGAUCAAGUUUGUAUGACGCAUGGAUCAAAGCUCAAUCUAGGAGAAAAAAAACAAAGGAAUUUUCUUUGUAAAGAAAAUUUGAGAUUGUACUAUUUUCAAAGUUAUAAAUAAAAUUAUACGCCAAAUUUUCAAGUCAAUUUUCAACUCCAAUUUUGUAUGCACAAAUUUCUAAUACACUUGGUGGGACAUUCUUUGACUUUUAUCUAUUCUCUCAAAAAGUUAAAGUUCAAAGUUACAUUAAACUCAAAGAAGAUAUUCAUUAGUAAACCACCUCACAAGCCUGCUCAAGCUAAUCCUACAACUCGUUCCACUUCAUCAUCAAACACCAAUAUUCUUGCUUAUCCUUAUGGAAUUAAACAGUCUCAUUUUCUGCAUUUUGGGUACACACUUAGUUUUGUUUGAUGCUAAAACAGUCCCCGAGCACUCCAAAACCUAUAAUUGAACAAAUAAUACUAAUUUAAUCUUACAUAACAUGAUCCCAAAUUGAAAUUGUAUCGAGGUUUUAACCCAUAAGUGACUAAACCUUACCUUCAACCGAUGAACAGUAAUUCCCACACAAACUAAGACUCCAAUUGGAGAUUACGAGCCAUUGAAUCCUCCCCUAAUUGGCAUAAACAAAACACUUCAAAAGAAAGUUAACAAAUGGAGACAAAUCACUUAUCUAAAACUUACCGAACGAUCACAGAAAAACGUGGAGUGACACGAGGCAGAGUGGGAAAAGAAAAAUCAAGAGGAUGAAGGGUGAAAGAGAGCAAAAAUUCGGUAGCAAUGAAGAGAAAAACAGCAAGAAAGUGGAGGGAUUUUAGGGAAAGUAAAAAAAAAGAUGAAUAGAAUAUUUGAUAACUACCCAAUCCCUUAUUUCUCUCUAUCAAACUCCCCACUAAAUCCACUACUCGAAUUUUUAGUCCAUCUCAAACUCUCCUGGACGCACGAGCAAAAAAUAAUGACCAUGCCAAAAUUUAAACAAAAGACCUCCUUCACACCAACACUCCACUUAUCCACCAGACCAAUAGGCUCAUUCUUUUAAUUAUUUUCCAACUUUUACUUAAAAGCCUACUGACCAAAGAUAGGGCUUAUUCAUAAAAAUACCAAAUUUUGCCCAAGACCUGGCUUGAACUUGGGACCUCUCAAACACACCCAGAACACAUAACCACUAAAGCAGACAGAAAUUUUGUGUCACACAUUCACAAUACCCAAAAUUAAAAUUUUAGGGCGUUACAAAAACACAUUAAACAAUAUCGCAUAAAACAAUCACAGUCAGAUAACAAUUCAGAAUGUCGAUUUUACAAUUUAACCACCAAUAGUAUCAUAGUAUUCACAGUUGUAAUUUCAGAAUAUCAAAUUUCCACAUCAUUCACAAUAUUCACACAUAUAUAAAUAUAUCAUAAUAGAAUUCUAGAUUUGUAUGCACAUGAUUUAGAAGAUGCCAUACAAUUUUGGGUUUUAACAGAAUAAAUCCUACCCCACAUUACAUACCAUAAUGGGAGUUCCCCUAAACUCCCUUCUCCAACACACUAGGUUGUGGAUAAACCACUAUUGGUUCACAAAUAAUAACUGUCAUUUGGCUGUGGACACAUAGCAAGUCCCCGCAAUUGGAUUCUAGAUUUGGUUGUGGAUUCACAGCAAAAAAAUCCUACAAAUGAAGCCUGCUUUUGCCUGUAGAUUAUACAACAUAUACCCGCAGUUGGAAUCUGUCUUUGGCUGUGGAUGCAGUGUAACACCUCAAACUCGACCUAGACGUUAUGGCUAAAUCUUAAUGAUUUACUUUAACUCGCUAGAAAGCCCACGAAUUUACUUUAAAAUCAUGUGGUUAAACUAGUGUUCACUUUGAUAAAUCGUUUUCCAGUUUUAGAGAAAAUUCUUGUUAAAACUGUUACUUUAUUACAAUAAAACAUUGAAGUAAUUGUAUCAUUUUGUAGUGGAAUCUACUAAGCUAUAAGGUUUUGAAAAUCGUGAUUUAGUUUGAAACAAAUCAUUUUGCAAAUAGAAAUUUAAUACUACUUAAUUUGGAAAAGCACGCUAAAACGAAAGCAAAGUCCAAAAUAAUUUACGGUUUGAAAUUCUAAAAAGCCCAAAUUAGUCAUAAAGUCUAUUUAAACCAAUUUAUCGAAAGUGUAACACCCUAAACCCGGCCUGUAUGUUAUGGCCAAAUCUAGAUGUGUUACGAAAAAAAGUUUAUAAAACGACUUCCUUGUUAUUGGCAAAUCAUCGUAGCCAUUAUUACUUAGUAUAUCUGAUUUGUUUGGAAAACUUAUUGAUAUACUUAUUUGAUUUAAAAUCGUUGCUCACUUACGCCUUUUUAUUAAACCAAAUAUUUUGCAGCGGAGUUUCUUUAAAACAUCAUAUUUUGGAAAAUCAAAUUGUUUCUUGAAAAUCGUUAUUUUAGAAAAGUUGUCAUUUUCAGAAAAAUUAUUUUAUCAGUUGUUAUGCUGAGAAAACAAAAUAAAAUCCAAAACCAAAAAUAGUCCCAAAAAGUCUAGAGAGUCCCAAAAUGACAAUACUCUUAAAACUAGACAAGUUUAAACUAAUUUUAAAAGAAUGAAAUUUUACAGAAAUGUGGACACCACUGAGCUUCCGUCGCACCGACCCACCUAAAUCUGAGGGUUACUUGAACAGAAUAAACAAACAGAGAGUGAGUUUUGAAACUUAGUGUCUAACGCGUAUAUAAACAAAAAUUCAGAAUCAAUCUCAUGCAGAACAGAUACAAGUGUAAACCUUUUAUAAAAUUAGAAUUAUACAGAUACAAAUAUGCAACAUCCUACCCUCAUCCUCUACACACCAACUCCGACCAUUCUAUCACACCACGUGGGGUAUAAAAUACCCACCCAGCCCUACACACCGUAUAGUAUUUAUAUGACACUUUUUGGAAUAAUCGCAGCAGAGUUGCCAGUAUAUAGGCGAGAUAUCACCUCACACAGAACACUUCCUCCUCAUAAUACAAAUCCCGCCCCAUAGCCAGAUACAGACAAAAUAUCAUGUAAAAUAAAUUAACAGAUACUAGAGUUAACAUAUCACGCAUGAGCGUAUAAUAGAUAUUACACAUGCUUAUGCAUAACAAAAUAGAUCAUACAUAUUGUAUUCCAUAAUACUCAUAUAAAUGUUAUUUACGUCAAUCUCAAUCUAAUAGAGUAGCUGAUUUCAUGCUUUAACUCUUAUACCACACAUACAGACCCUAUAGAAGGCCCACAGUUGAUCGAGACAACAUGUAUGUCCCUAGGGAAAAAAUUUGUAAUUUGGGCCCAUAUGCAUGUAUGAGCCCACACACCCAAAAUGGCCUUGCCCAUGUGGCUCACCUACCUAGCACUCAGCCCAUACGGUCCAAAAUGGCCUAGGUCGUGUGUCACACACAGCCGCAUGUUGCACACAGCCUACCACAUAGCGAGUCACAAAACCGUUUGGAGUUGACAAGCCUAAUUUUUGGCUUUCGUCAAUCGUCAUUUUCUUACGUUUUCAUUACACACUUGGUUUGAUUCUGACCCAAAAGCAACCCUAAGUCCACCGAAACCUAAAAAUAGCAUUCCAAUGCCCAAUUUCAGUGAACAUUUACAAAACUUAAACAAAAACUAUCCAAAAACAUAGCCUCACAAUAGCAUCCAAUGCACUCGCACACUUACCGUCAACGAAUAGGAAACACCCAACACUCAAUUCGUUGGCGGAGCACCAAUUAUGAUAAUGCAAAAAUUUUAUGGAUUCUCAACACUAUCGAUCCAAAUGUAAGAUUGAUGCUUUCCAAUUAUGAUAAUGCAAAAAUUUUAUGGGAUGGUUUACAUGAAUUUUUGUUGUUGUCAACGAUCAAUGUAUUCAAUAAUUAAAAGAAAAUAUUAGUCGUUGUUAGAAAACCAAUACUAUGAGUGUUGUAGUUUAUUUCAGUAAAUUAAAGGUUUUGUGGGAUGAACUAGACAAUCAUGAACAAUUGAUUUAUUGCAAGUGUGGACAAUGUUUAUGUAACUUAGGGAAGACGGAUGAACAAUGUCGUGAGCAUGAUCGACUUCAUCAAUUACUUCUUGCUCUCUAUUCUAAUUGUUAUGCUCAAACUAGGUUUACAUUGUUUUACCAAGAUCCUUUGCCUUCCUUAAAUCAGGCAUUCCAACAAAUUACUUAGGAGGAACAUGUACGUGGAAUUACACUGAUUAAGGAAGAGAAGUCUGAUAUUUUAGGCUUUGCUUUGCAUACAGAAGGUCAUAACAAAGGCCGAGCUAAUUGUAUUGAUAAGUCAACCUUGUUGUGCACUCAUUGCUAUCGCAAAAGGCAUGAGAUGGCUACCUAUUUUGAAUUACAUAGCCACUUGGAUUGGCGGCUUAAGAAGUAUGGGAAGCCAGAGAAGAAAAGUGAUGAUCGUGGUGGUAAGACAAGUGCACAUCUUCCACGUAAGUAUUUUAUUUCAAAGGAUCACAAUUAAACAUUAGAUUUCUCAUUUUUAAAUUUUUUUUAUUUUUUUAACAACUACGUAAUUAACGAGUACCAAUUUUGGGUGUUGUAGGGGUUCUAUAACUUUCCCUAUAUGUAAUCGACUCUUGCACCCUCUUUUUUUCUCUAGAAUUCAAUGCAAACCUUAAAUUUAUCUUUUUAAAAGAAUUUUAAAAUCUCUUUAUAAAAGACGAUUUUUUUAGGUGACCAAUCACAGUUAAGAAAAACAAAUCGGUGGCAACUCCUUUCUAAUAAAUGUAAAAAACUUUUUAAACAAAAUAAGGUUGAAAUAAUCUAGUUGUCGUUAUACUUUGAUAAAAUUUUAGAUUUAGUCCUUAUACUUAAAAGGUUAAAAAUUAAGUCUUGUUUUUAUUUAAAAAUCUUAGUCCUAUCGUUAAUAUUGUUUUUUUUUUGUCAAAAUUUGUCAAGUUGACAUAUUAAUUAGGUUUCUCUUAUAUAUCGUGGUAUAUGACUAACACAAAAUAAACAAGUUGACAAAUUCUACAAAAAAUAUCAAAGAUGAUAAUAGUUUAAUUAAAAUUUUUAAAUUAAAAAAGUAAGGGAUUAAAUUUAUAACUUUUAAAGUAUAAUGAAUGAAAUUAUUGAAAUACAAGAACUAACAACAUAUUUUAAAAAUAUUACUAGUAAAUUAUAUAUCUACAACAAGAAUUGUAACCUCUUAUAUUAUAUUCUUGUAUUUAUUUUUGCAUCUUUCAUAAUAUGAUUUAUUAAUUUUAAUAUUUUUAUAGAAUAAUAUGCUUUAAAUAGUUUUUUGUAUCAUUUAUAAAAAUUAUAAUAAACUUACAAAAUAAUUUAAUGAUAUUUAAUUAUUAAUCGAAAAAAAUGAUAUCAUAUAUAUUAUGUAUAUAUUAAGAUUCCAAAUCAUUAAUUAUAUAUCUACGCAUUAUAAUAAAUUCAUCUUUCAAAAUUUUCCUUAUAAUUAAAGCAUAAAUUAUAUUUAUAAUAAUAUAAAUAUAUUCUAUCAUAAAUAUUCUUUCAAAUAUUUUUUAAUGUUUAAUAAUAAGUUAAUUUAUAAAAUAUUCUUUCAGUAAAUUAACGUGAUGAGAUCGUUAGGUGCUUGGAUUUGGUGAAGGGGGAUGAAGAGAAAAGGGAUGGAAGUGAAUAAAAAUGUUGAGAAAUGGAAAGGGUUAGCGAGGGAAGCCGCCAUGAAAGGUGGUUCAAUGGAUAUGAACCUUCAAGCUUUUGUGGAUGAUGUUACUCAAGGUUGUUGCAAGUAAAUUUAAAAAUGUUUUUAAAUUAUUUUUUUGUUAAAAAAACAUUUUUUACUUUUUUAUGUGGCAUGCCACAUUAUCAUACUAUCAUGUGACAAUUUCUGGUGAUUUCUGUCCGCAACAUUAGUCAAAUCAACUGUUAAAUCGUUCAACUCACAGUUUUUGUUAAAUGAAGAGGUUAAUUGAUUUUUUUUUGGAAUCAUUGAGUACUCAAUUGGUGCACUUUUUUCAUAAAGGCUAAAUUAAUUUUUUAAUUUGUUAUUGUUGAAGGCUAUAGCAAUAAAAAAAAUUGAGGUAAAAAAAUAUUAGAGCUAAAUUUGUCAUUAUGCCUAAAAUGUAAAACCAAAUUUUUUUGAAAAUGAAAAAAAAUGGAAAAUCGCAAAUUCCGUCGCAUAUUUUUGCUUAAAAUUAUAGUUUUGGUCACCAAUCUUUUGAAGUAAAUAUAGGUCACCAAUAUUAUCAAUUUGUUACUUUGUAAUAACUCACCUUAAGUUAUACCCCGACGCACGAAAGGAUUAAAUGACAUUGGGAUACCAUCAAACUUGUAUCUUAAAUACACAUUUACCCCUAAUUUUAUCACAUUCUUCUUAAUUGGUAUUUAUGGUUUAGAAAAUUUUACAAAUAUAUUAUUUUUUAAGAAAUUAUAAGAAGAUUACAAAAAUUCCAAAAUAAUAUAAAAAAGCUAAGGAAAACCUAGAAAUUCAAAAAAAAAAACGUGGACAUUGAAUUUGCUGUUUCACAUUAAAUUUUUGGAGAAGUAGAAUUUUCUAACUUAUUUUCCAUCAACUUCACUUCAAUUUUCAAUCACAAUCUAUUGCAUUCAAGAGCACCACAUCUUUUGGGAUGAAACAAACCUCUCAAUUUUAAGAUAAACGGAAUCUAUUGCAUUCAAGAGCACCACGUCUUUUUGGAUGAAACAAAGCUCUCAAUUUUAGGAUAAACGGGUCUUUAGGGUUAUAAAUUGAGGUCCUUUUCCACAAUUGCGGGUGAUUCGUUGAUAAUAACCUCAACAUUUCUGUAUCACAUUUAAUUCAAUUCCACAUUCAAUUUUUAGUUUUUAGAGAGAUGAUUGGGUUACAACAAUGGUUUGAAGUGAAGAUAUUUCAAAACAAGAUGAAUACUCUACCAAUAGUCAUAAUUUAAAAUGCAGGUUAUGUUUCAUUUCAGCUAAGUUAAAUGUUAAGAUUGAGGUUAAACCUUUUAGAGGUUGCUCGCAAAAGGAUCAAACCUUUAUAAAAUUGUUUAAAUGAAGGUCAAACCUCUUAAAAUAGACAAAUAAGGGCCUAACCUUUUAAAAGGUGUUCAAAUAAGGGUUUCUCAAAUUUUGUAUAUCAGGUUAUGUAUUUUACUCUAAACACAUCGACAUUUACCUAUUUUUUCUAUAAAUUGGGUUGAAGUGCAUGAAAAAACCUUAUUUAAGCACUUCUGUAAAGGUUAAACUCUUAUUUGACUAUUUUGAAAGGUUUGAUCCUUAUAUAAGCAACCUCUAAAAGAUUGAGUACUAAUUUGACAAGAUUGAGAAAUACCUAAAUUUGUUUUCAUGAAUCAAGAAAAUAAAAAAGAAAUGUUGAGAAAUAUUUUAGAGAUUCUUAGCUUUGACAAGUUCCCUCCAUCAUCUUCCUGCCUCCAGUCCCACCUCUUCUCUUAUGCUCCUCCCAGCUUCUUGCUUUUUGUGUGUUGAAAUUUCAAAGGAACAAAAUAUCAACCUACAUCAUAAGGCACGAUUGCCAGAACUUUACUUUCUAGCCUGUCGAUCCGAUCCAAUGAAAGAAGAACAAAGAGUCUCAAGAUCUGUCAACUUUAUUUCAUUUUCAUUUUCUUUGUCAUUUUCUAUGUUUCAUGUCGAAUACAAUGAAAGAACAUAGAAAAAUGUUGCCUAUUUAUUUCCCAAUCAUCAUGAAAUUACUUGCCAUAGACUUAGAAUUUUCUCACCAAUUUUCAAGCAAUCUGACAUGAUUUCUCAAUCACAAUUAAUUGAAUUCAAGAUCUUUUUAGAUGACACAAACAUUUCAAUUUUAACACAAACCAAUAUUUAGGUUGUACUUCAGUGCUUGACAAGCACUUUCACAUUUGUGGGAUAAGAACUCUUAACAUUUUAGGAUCACAUUUAAUUCAAUUGCAUUUAAGACCUCACGAUUUUAUUCUAUAAUUUCAGUCUUAUCAGCCUUUUCGGAAACAAUAAAACGUCGACAUUAAAUUUGUUGUUGAUGCAUUCAAUUUUUUGAGGGGUCUUUGGAGUUAUAUGUGACUUUAGCAUUGACUGACUUUUUUAUAAUUAAUCUUUUAUAAUAUAUCAAUUUUAAUAACAUCGACAUGUUUUUUAGUAGGGUCUAGCAAAACCCAAUUAAAACCGAUGAUAUUGGCUUAGUUGACUCGGUCAAGUCCAUUAGAUUGAUAAAAUCAAUUUUAAAAUCAGUUAUAAUGGAUUAAGGUAAUUAAUUAUCGAGUAAUGAAAUACAUAAUCAAAUCAAUUGAUUUUGUUAGAAACUAAAAGAAAAUGAGAUAAGCUGAAAACUGAUUGCCCUUUAUUAAAAUUAACGAAUCCGCCCUUUACGUAUUAGAUAAUACGAACAUCACAUAUAUAAUAAGAAAAAUUACGUAUGAUUAUUUAUUAUCAUAAAAGGUUAGUUUAAAUUUAAAGUAAUCUAAUAUGUUUAUUGAACUUCAACUAUUAAAUAAAGUAUAAGCUAAAUAAGUAUAAAUAUUCUAGAAACCAUUUCUAACUGAUGAUAGGCUAAUUCGAUUAAUUUAUAAAAACUACAUAGUAGGGUUAUAGUCCUCAAACUACACCUAAUUUAAUAAUAUUUAUAGUUUUUUUUUUAGCCUUAAACAUUUAUAGUUUUUUGUUAAUUUGGUCCUUACUCUUUAAAAUUACAUAAAAAUUGCAAAAAAAAUUAAAAUUAAUUUUUUUUCAUAAUUUUAAUAACAUUUAUAGUUUUUUUUUUGUGUGUGGUUUGGUAACUUAUCAACUCGACUCUCACUUGUAACCAACUUUUCUAACCUUUUUCGUACCCUUAACCUAAGUCCCGUUACAACUUUCUAAAGACCUCUUUAUCAGUGUAUCAUGUCGGUUUGUUUUAUAAUGGUGGAGAUUUGUUUUUUGUAGUGGCACGAUUGCCAGAACUUUACUUUCUAGCCUAUCGAUCCGAUCCAAUGAAAGAAGAACAAAGAGUCUUAAGAUCUGUCAACUUUAUUUCAUUUUCAUUUUCUUUGUCAUUUUCUAUGUUUCUUGUCAAAUACAAUGAAAAAAGAACAUAGAAAAAUGUUGCAUAUUUAUUUCCCAUUCAUCACUCUAACAGGCCCAAUUAGCCCAGGCCCAAACAUUAAUAAAAUGUCUAGAUUACAAAAUAAUCAACUAAAAAUUAAAAGCUCAAAAAAUAAAAUAAAACCCAUUAUAUUAACCCAAAACCCCAGCCCAAUUACAUUGAAACCCAAAAAAAAAAUAGUUUUCAGAAACCCCUAGGGUUUCAGAAGCCCCUCAAUGUUAUUUUGUAUAUCUAUUUAUCUUUUUAAAUUUUCGAUAUUGUCUUGUUUUGUUUUUGUAUUAUUGUUGUUACCAUCAUUAUUCAUUAUUAUUAUUGUUGAUUUUAUUGUUCUUUGAUUAAUGUUAAUGUUAGAGUAAUAGAUGUUAUGUGAUCAUUGUUAUUAUAUGUUAUAAUUUGUUUACACUCGUAUUGUAGUCAUUUGUCAGCUUAAUAUUUUGAGUAAUAUUUUAAAUAUUACAUUAAUUUCGACCCAAAUGCAUAAUUUUUUAAUAAGUAAUAUUUUAUAUUUUGAAAUUUGAGAGAUCAUUCCCUAACUUACGGGGUCUCAAUUUUUUCGAUAAAUCUGAAUAUACUAACUAUUUUCAAAAAAUAUGUUUUAAAAUUAUCUCGGGAAUUUAAAAAGGAGCGUGUUCUAACUUACUGAAUAUGAUCUUUUUUUUAAAAUCGAGAUAAUCAAAUAACUUUCAAAUAAAUAAAUUUUCAAUGUUUAUUCUCAUAUCAGGAUUUAAAAUAUUAUAUCCUAACUCACGGGAUACAAUUCUUUUUCUCGAUUAACAUGAAAUAUGCCCGUUUUAAUUUUAUUUUUUAAGUGAUUUUAACAAAAGGAUUGUAUUUUAAAUCUCUUCAAAAUUUUCAAUUUUUCGACAUUGAGACAUUAACUAAUCAAUUAGGUACCAAUUUUGGGCGUUACGAGGGUGCUAACCCUUCCUCAUACGUAACCGACUCCCGAACCUAUUUUUCUGAAUAUUGAAGGCCAAAAUUGUUUUAAUAAAUUAAACCCUUAAGACGUGACCCCAUCACACCUCAUAAAAAUUAUCGGUGGCGACUCUCGUUUGCGUUUUUGUUUUCGUUUUCAAAAUAAAAGUCGACCCCUUGUUUUAAAAAAGGUGGUUCGAUAGCUUGGCGACUCCGUUGGGGAAAAAAAUAAGAGAGUCAAGCCACGAGUUGAUUAUUUCUUAUUUUUUGUCAGAAAUUGUGAAUUCGAUUUAAAUUUACGAUCUUUUCAUUGCAUUUUAUGGUCUGCAUCAUUUUGAUAUGCUUGCUUUACUGGUUCGAGUCUUUUAAUCUCCGCAUAUUGCAUUGCAUAACCGUUCGGUUAUACCCUUUUAAGUGGGAGUGAGAAACUAUUCAUUUGUGAGAUUUUUACCUCCGUAUAGGAUAGUGGAUUACUUUCGGGAUACAUCCGUACCUAUGUCUUCGUGAGAUUUUCAUCUCCGUAUAGUUAUAGGGAAAUGUAUUCCCCUGAACUGAACUCAGUCCGUAUGAGCCUAUAAUAGGUAAGGAUUGAGGAAUCUGCUGGUUCAGGUACCCUUUCUUUAGAACUAAACUGCAUGUAGUGAGCCCUAAGAGCAUACCGUAGGUAGAACCACUCCAAACCCCUAGUGGUCACCCAAAUAGGUGCUCUAUUUAUUUUUGCUUGCUUAUUUUUGCAUUGUACUAACCUAUUUUUUUGUUAUGAUUGCAUUGCAUUUUCAUCAUAAAAAAGAUGUGUUGAUUCACGUUCAAUUGCUAAAUAGAGAGCUUGUCAUGGAAAACGGAUUUCUUGAUAAAGUGGAAGACAAUGUGGUUAUCCGGAUAUGGUCCAAGAAAAUUUGACGAAAGAAGGGUGAUAGUCUAAUGGAGGACUACACGACCUUGCUUUAUUGCCCGAGGAUUCAAGUUGACAAAGAUUAUUUGAGAGUCCUCAAUGUCCCGACCUUUUUCAAGAAGCUAACGAGUGUCACGAGGAUGAGUGAGUAAUGAGUUGCGGCCCGGAUCAAGCAAAAAAGAGAUAGAGGAGACACCCUUUUUGAAGAGUUCGCGAGAUUUAUAUUAAUAUCAAAAUGAAGAAAAAGAUCAAUGUCUUCGCCUGGAGUAUGAAAGCAAAGCUGUAUAUAUAUCCGCUUUAUGUAAAUAAAUUUGUUUUCUAGUAAAGUUUUUCUAAUAGAAUUGAAUCAGAAUCAAUGUCUUUUUUUGCAUUCAUUCCAUUCAUCUGCAUUGCAUUUCAUUGCAUCCAAAAUUUCACAAAAGGACCCUAAUUAAUUGAAAUUGUUAUAGUUACUCUGAAAACUAAUAAAAAUCUACCAAUUAAAUAUUCCUACGGUACCCGUCGCAAAACCAAAGUAAUGGAUCAAAUAUUAGAAAGAUUAGAACAAAUUCUGAAAGACAAGCAUAAUCGUUUUUGCUUAGGGUACAAGCCAGAUACAAGACAAAGAAGGAAGGAGUUAGAGAAGAAAUAGGAAAGAAUGACAGCAUAUUUGAGCGAGGAUGAGGUCAAAUGGGAGCCUAUGAACUUUCCCUACAUAUCCAAAACUUUUGUAUCGGGAGGGAUUAUUCAUCCCGAGCGAAGAAUGCCAAGAGAAGAAAAUAUUGAAGAAAUGUUGGGAAACGUUCACAUCAAUGCCAUAUACGAAGAAGUAGUUGAAGGAUGGACCUUGUUAGAUAUCCGACCUUAUGAACCUGGGAGUGUGCUAAACAAUUGGACUACAGAAGAAAUUCCUGUAGUGUUUAGACCUUACUCAGAGUAAUAUUCAAAACACACUUGUUGCUUUUAGCCUAGAAGUGAUAAGAAUCCCUCUGUGAAAUAGGCUCAUGUAUAAACAUCAUUAUUUUAAUAAAGUAAAUCUUUGCAUUCAUUUUGAGCAAAUAUUCUUUUAUUCUUUCCAUACGAGUAAUUAUUUUAGAUUUUUCAUUAUUUUAGGAUUUUCUUCCAAAAAUCAUUCUUUUAUUACAUUCAUAAUCAUACUGUACAAAUAAUUAUUCUUAAAUUCAUUCAUUCUUUGUAUAUUCUUUUGUACCUAUAAUAGGUCCCUAGAUAUCAACGACAUGAGUGACGCUGCUACAGACUUAGAAUUUCCUUUUAAACAAGACAUGUGUUUAGAGGGAUCCCAUGACUUUGAAGAUGACGUAGACUGUGGCUUAUCUCCGGACUUGUUAAGGAUGGUAAAACAAGAGGAGAAGCAAAUCCUACUUCACAAUGAAUCAAUGGAAAUUGUGAGCUUAGAAGGGGAAAAUAGGUGAAGAUUGGGACUGACAUUGCCACAAAUACGAAGUAAGACCUCAUUGAGUUACUCUAAGAAUUCAAAGAUAUUUUUGCAUGGUCAUACUAGGAUACGCUCGGGUUAAGUACUGACAUUGUAGUACACUGCCUUCCUAUAAAAGAAGAUUGCUAGCCAGUUCAGCAGAAACUCCAGAGGAUGAGGCCUGAUAUUGUGCUAAAAAUAAAAGAAGUCAAAAAGUAAUUUGAUGUUGGGUUCUUACAAGUGGUCAAAUAUUCAGAAUGGGUAGCCAACAUCGUCUCAGUUCCUAAAAAAAAUGGGAAAGUACGAAUGUGCAUGGAUUACAGAGACUUGAACAAGGCCAGUCGAAAAGACAAUUCCCUAUUGCCUCACGUUGACACUUUGGUGGAUAAUACAGUAGGCUACUCACUUUUUUCCUUCAUGGAUGGCUUCUCUGGAUACAAUCAGAUAAAGAUGCAUCCAAAAACAUGGGAAAGAUUACAUUCGUGACCCUGUAGGAAACGUUUUACUAUAAAGUGAUGACAUUCAGAUUAAAGAAUAUGGGAGCGACGUAUCAAAGGGUGAUGGUAACCUUGUUUCAUGACAUGAUUUACAAGGAAAUCGAGGUUUAUAUUGACGAUAUGAUUGCAAAAUCUAGAACAGAAGAGGAACAUGUGCAGGUCCUGAGAAAAUUAUUCUUAAGACUGAGAAAGUUCUAGCUCAAGCUUUCCAACGAAAUGCACUUUCGGAGCUAGGUCAGGAAAGCUAUUAGGCUUCAUAGUCAGUGAAAAAGGAAUCGAGAUCAACCCAGACAAAGUCAAGGUAAUAAGAGAUUUACCUCCACUAUGCACUCAGAAGAAAGUUCGAGGUUUCCUAGGAAGACUAAAUUACAUUGCUCGGUUUAUUUCACAACUAACCGAAAAAUGUGACCCCAUAUUUCAUCUUUUAAAGAAACAUAAUCCAGAUGUAUAGGAUGAAGAAUGUCAGGAAGUUUUUGAUAGGAUAAAGCAGUACCUAUCAAAUACUCUAGUGCUGUUACCACCUAGCCCAGAUAGGCCACUGAUAUUGUAUUUAACAGUGUUUGAUAAUUUUAUGGGAUGCAUGCUAGGCCAACAUGAUGAGACAGGAAGGAAAGAAAGGGUUAUAUACUAUCUCAGUAAGAAAUUCACUGAUUAUGAAAUAAGAUACUCGUCUAUUGAGAAAUUAUGUUGUGCCUUGAUCUGGAUAACUCGGAGGCUAAGGCGGUACAUGUUGUACCAUACGACUUGACUAAUUUCAAAGUUAGACCCUUUAAAGUAUAUGAUGGAGUCAACUACUUUGAAUGGGAGGAUGGCCAGAUGGCAGAUUUUACUUUUUGAAUUUGACAUACUUUAUGUGAGCCAGAAGGCUAUAAAAUGGAGUGCAAUAGCGGAUUUUCUAGCUAGCAGAGCCUUGGAGGAUUAUGAGCCUUUAAAUUUUGAUUUUUUGAACGAGGACUUAAUGUAUGUGGCAACCACUAAAGAAAAUGCUCAAGUGGAUCGCAUUUGGAAGCUAAAAUUUGACGGAGCCUCAAAUGCUAUGGGUAAUAAAAUUGAGGCAGUCUUAGUAUCCCCGAGCAGAGAUCAUUAUCCUAUUGCUGGCAAAUUGGAUUUUGAUUGUACAAACAAUAUAGCAGAAAAUGAAGCGUGUAUUAUGGGCAUCCGUAUAGCCAAAGAAUGUAAAAUCAAAGUGCUAAAGGUAUAUGGGGAUUCUGCAUUGGUGAUAUAUCAGCUCAAAGGAGGAUGAGAGAUAAGAGACCUCAAAUUGAUUAAUUAUCGAAAGUUUAUUCUCGAAUUGAUUGAUGAGUUUGAUGAUAUUACUUUCUCCUAUCUCCCACUAGAUGAAAACCAGAUGGCUGACACGUUGGCUACUCUAGCUUUCAUGAUCAAAGUAAACAAACUAGAAGACAUGAAGCCUAUCCAGAUGAGCAUUUAUGAGACUUUGGCUCAUUGCUACAGUAUCGAGGAAGAGGAAAAGGAUGAUCAUCCUUGGUACCAAGAUAUACUGCAAUAUGUAAAGAAUCACGAGUACCCUGAUCAGGCAACGAAGAAUGAUAAGAGGACAUUGAGAAGACUAGCCACUAACUAUGUCUUACAUGGAGAGAUUUUAUACAAAAAGGGAAAGGAUCGGGUACUACUAAGAUGCUGGAUGCUAUAAAAGCUUAGAAAAUCUUGGAGGAAGUCCAUGAAGGUAUCUGCAAAAUGCAUGCCAACGGUUUCACAAUAGUAAGACAGAUUAUGAGAUUCGGGUACUACUGGUCGACCAUGGAAGGAGAUUGCAUCAAUUAUGCCAAGAAGUGCCAUAAAUGUCAAAUUUAUAGAGACAAAAUACACGCACGUUCUUCACCUCUCAACGUUAUGACUUCUCUAUGGCCUUUCUCUAUGUGGGAUAUGGAUGUCAUCGGGCCAAUAUUGCCAAAGGCUUCUAAUAGGUAUCGUUUCAUCUUCAUGGUCAUUGGUUACUUCACUAAAUAGAUGGAAGCUGAUUCAUAUGCUAAUGUCACGAAGUCAGGAGUCAGCAAGUUCUUGAAAAGGGAGAUCAUAUGUUGAUAUAUAAUGCCUGAAAGAAUCAUAUCUGACAAUACAUUGAAUUCGAAAAAUAGCAAAAUAGCGGAGGUCUGCAAUCAAUUCAAGAUCAAACACCAUAAUUCGUCACCAUAUCGCCCAAAAAUGAACGGAGCAGUGGAGGCGGCCAACUAAAAUACCAAGAAAAUUGUGGGGAAAAUGUCUGAGACUUACAAAGAUUGGCAUGAAAAAUUACCAUUUGCCCUCUUUGUUUAUCGAACAUCAAUCAGGACUUUCGUCGGGGCAACGCCUUUCUCUCUAGUUUAUAAGAUGGAGGCAGUUUUACCCAUUAAAGUUGAAAUCCCUUCUCUCUGGGUAUUGGCUGAGCUAAAGUUGGAUGAAGCUGAAUAGAUCCAACCUCGAUAUGAUCAGUUGAACCUAAUAGAAAGAAAAAGGCUAAAAGUUAUUCACCACGGUCAGAUGUACCAAAAACGAAUGAUGCGAGCCUACAACAAAAAAGUUCAUCCCAAAGAAUUCUAUGAGGGGGACCUAGUGUUGAAAAAGAUUUUUCCUCUACAAAAGAAUUUUAGAGGAAAAUGGAUGCCAAAUUAGGAAAGACCUUAUGUUGUAAUAAAGGCCUUUUCUGGAGGAGCAUUGAUUUUGAGUGAGAUGGAUGGUAAAAAUUUUCCUAAUCUUGUAAACUCAGAUUCAUUCAAGAAAUACUUCACCUAAAGAAGGAGAAGGGACCAAUGUGAAAACCUGCAAAGGGCACUUUGAGUCUUAAAAAAAAGAGACCAAGGUGAAAACCGCAAAUGGUGUCUUAAGUCCUAAAAAAAAGAGGCCAAGGUGAAAACUAGCAAAGGGCGCCUUGAGACCAAAGGGGAUUUGAGUUGAAAACCCGAAAAGAGCGACUCAAAUAUUGAUUAAAAUGGGGCAUGCAGUGAUCUUGCUAUACUUGAAUUAAUAGGAAAGGGGUAUACGACAUCUUGGGGCAUCGACAAAGUACUAUAGAUCUCCUAAACACAUUUCAAACUCAAAAUGGUCUUUAGGAAGUUUGUACAGAGAAAUUCAAGCUGCGAUGUCUAGGGCACCUAGUCUUCAUACUAUUUAUAUUAAAUUUGCUAUUCUUGGAAUACUUUAUUCUUUUCAAGAUACGUGUUCCCAAUCAAUUCCCUUUUUAUUCUUCUUUAUCCUUGAUAAUUUAUUCAUUUCGAGCUAUGCUCCAAAUCAAUUCUAUUCUUAUCCAUUGUUAUUAUCUUUUGCAAGCAUGUUGUAUUGGAAUAAUGAUUAAUAGACUAAUAAUACUUUUACAAAUAAAGUGCUGUAUAUUACUCUAAAAGUUUCUAAAUAAUACAAGAACCUAAAACAGGACUAUUGUUUAGAACGCACCGGGUUUAAAGGUUAGAAAUAUCUGAGAAGGAAGAGUCCAAAUUAAGACUAUCCCUUCGAAUUUUGUUGUCAAAAUAUUGAUUGAACAAAACGACAAGAUAUCGUAUUGGUGAACAAACGAGCAAUGAUCACCAGGUAAUAAAAAGAGGUUAUUUUGGAAAAAAAAUUACAUUGGUACGACACCUUAGGAAUGGUGUAAGAGACCAAAGAGGUUCACAUCUUGUAUUCUUGAAUUGCAAUAGGAGAGGAUUGAGAAAGAGCUAGAUAUUAUACUCCUGAAUUAUAAUGGAAGGGAAAUGGUACAAAUUUUAUGUACCAAAAGUACAGUGGAUUGAACCUUGAAGAUUACAGUAGGGGAAAUCUGAUUAAGUAAAAUAUGAAGUGUUUCUUUGGAGAUACCAGUCGAACAAGAUGGCAUUAUGACGUGUCGGUGAUAGAGCCUUAAUGAAUAAUGAGCAAUAACAACUCAAGCAUUAAGGGAUCAUUUUCAUAACAUUCUGUAUUCAUUCAUACACAUCUAGUUAGGAGAUUUUGAUUCAUUCCGAUCAUAACAUCCAAAUCACUAGACAUAAAUAGGCCCAUGAAAUGGAUUCUACAGGUCAUGUUCCCCAUAGAACAGAUGGGUGAAACCACAAAUCCUAUACCGCUGAAGUUGCAGUGGGAUGGAUUGAAGUCAUUAUGGCGAGUCUUAUCUCCCUGAAGUUGCAAUGGAGCAUAUUAAAGCUAGUAAUCUUAUCUCCCUGAAGUUGCAGUAGAGCGGAUUGAAGUUACAAGUCUUAUCCCCCUAAAGUUACAGUGGAGCAGACUGAAGAUAGUGAAUCUUAUUUCCCUGAAGCUGCAGUGGAACAAAUUGAAGCUAUAAAUUGUAGAUUUUAUCUCUCUAAAGUUGCAAUAGAGAAGAUCAUAUCAAACUUUAUCUCCCUGAAGUUGUAGUGGAACAGGUUGAAAAUACCAAUCUUAUCUCCCUGAAGUUACAGUGGAGUAGACUGAAGAUAGCGAAUCUUAUUUCUCUGAAGUUGCAGUGGAACGGAUUGAAGCUAUAAAUUACAGAUCUUAUCUCUCAGAAGUUGCAGUAAAGCAGAUCAUAGAAAACCUUAUCUCCCUGAACUUGCAGUGGAGUAGGUUGAAGUUAUAAGUCUUAUCUCCCUAAAGUUGCAGUGGAGCAGACUGAAGAUAGCGAAUCUUAUUNNNNNNNNNNNNNNNNNNNNNNNNNNNNNNNNNNNNNNNNNNNNNNNNNNNNNNNNNNNNNNNNNNNNNNNNNNNNNNNNNNNNNNNNNNNNNNNNNNNNNNNNNNNNNNNNNNNNNNNNNNNNNNNNNNNNNNNNNNNNNNNNNNNNNNNNNNNNNNNNNNNNNNNNNNNNNNNNNNNNNNNNNNNNNNNNNNNNNNNNNNNNNNNNNNNNNNNNNNNNNNNNNNNNNNNNNNNNNNNNNNNNNNNNNNNNNNNNNNNNNNNNNNNNNNNNNNNNNNNNNNNNNNNNNNNNNNNNNNNNNNNNNNNNNNNNNNNNNNNNNNNNNNNNNNNNNNNNNNNNNNNNNNNNNNNNNNNNNNNNNNNNNNNNNNNNNNNNNNNNNNNNNNNNNNNNNNNNNNNNNNNNNNNNNNNNNNNNNNNNNNNNNNNNNNNNNNNNNNNNNNNNNNNNNNNNNNNNNNNNNNNNNNNNNNNNNNNNNNNNNNNNNNNNNNNNNNNNNNNNUCAAAGGAACAAAAUAUCACCUACAUCAUAAGGCACGAUCGCCAGAACUUUACUUUCUAGCCUGUCGAUCCGAUCCAAUCCAAUGAAAGAACACAAGGAGUCUUAAGAUCUGUCAACUUUAUUUCAUUUUCAUUUCUUUGUCAUUUUCUAUGUUUCAUGUCGAAUACAAUAAAGAGAACAUAGAAAAAUGUGGCCUAUUUAUUUCCCAAUCAUCAUGAAAUUACUUGCCAUUGACUUAGAUUUUCUCACCAAUUUCAAGCAAUCUGACAUGAUUUCUCAUCACAAUUAAUUGAAUUCAAGAUCUUUUUAGAUGACACAAACAUUUCAUUUUAACACAAACCAAUAUUUCGGUUAUACUUCAGUGCUUGACAAGCACUUUCACAUUUGUGGAUAAGAACUCUUAACAUUUUAGGAUCACAUUUAAUUCAAUUGCAUUUAAGACCUCAUGGUUUUAUUCUAUAAUUUCAGUCUUAUCAGCCUUUUCGGAAACAAUAAAACGUCGACAUUAAAUUUGUUGUUGAUGCAUUCAAUUUUUUGGGUCUUUGGAGUUAUGUGACUUUAGCAUUGACUGACUUUUUUAUAAUUUAAUAAUAAGGUAAAUAUAUUAAUUUUAAUAACAUCGACAUGUUUUUUAGUAGGGUCGAGCAAAACCCAAUUAAAAUCGAUGAUAUUGGCUUAGUUGACUCGGUCAAGUCCAUUAGAUUGAUAAAAUCAUUUUUAAAAUCAGUUAUAAUGGAUAAAGGUAAUUAAUUAUCGAGUAAUGAAAUACAUAAUCAAAUCAAUUGAUUUUGUUAGAAACUAAAAGAAAAAGGGCUAAGCUGAAAAUUGAUUGCCCUUUAUUAAAAUUAACGAAUCUGUCUUUUACGUAUUAGAUAAUAUGAACAUCGCAUAUAUAAUAAGAAAAUUACGUAUGAUUAUUUAUUAUCAUAAAAGGUUAGUUUAAAUUUAAAGUAAUCUAAUAUGUUUAUUGAACUUCAACUAUUAAAUAAAGUAUAAGCUAAAUAAGUAUAAAUAUUCUAGAAACCAUUUCUAACUGAUGAUAGGCUAAUUCGAUUAAUUUAUAAAAACUAGAUAGUAGGGUUAUAGUCCUCAAACUACACCUAAUUUAAUAACAUUUAUAUUUUUUUUAGCCUUAAACAUUUAUAGUUUUGUUAAUUUGGUCCUUACUCUUUAAAAUUACAUAAAAAAUUGCAAAAAAAUUAAAAAUUAAUUUUUAUCAUGAUUUAAUAACAUUUAUAUUUUUUUUUGUGGUUUGGUAACUUAUCAACUUGACUCUUACUUGUAACCAACUUUUCUAACCUUUUUCGUACCCUUAACCUAAGUCCCGUUACAAUUUCUAAAGACCUCUUGAUUGGUGUAUCAUCUCGAUUUGUUUUUAUAGUGGUGGAGAUUUGUUUUUUGUAGUGGGCAUGAUUGCCAGAACUUUACUUUCUAUCCUGUCGAUCCGAUCCAAUGAAAGAAUAACAAAGAGGUCUUAAGAUCUGUCAACUUUAUUUCAUUUUCAUUUUCUUUGUCAUUUUCUAUGUUUCUUGUCACAUACAAUGAAAGAAGAACAUAGAAAAAUGUUGCCUAUUUAUUUCCCAAUCAUCAUUCUAACAGGCCGAAUUAGCCCAGGCCCAAACAUUAAUAAAUGUCCAGAUUACAAAAUAACCAACCAAAAAUUAAAAGCCCAAAUAAUAAAAUAAAACCCAUUACAUUAACCCAAAACUCCAGCCCAAUUACAUUGAAGCCAAAAAAAUAGUUUUUAGAAACCCCUAGGGUUUCUGGAACAAUCCGCGCCGCUCCUCCAUCCGCUUCUCCACGCACGCUGCACCUUUCCACGUGCGCCUCCAGCUGGCAGUGUACCUCCAAUGCAACAAACAAAGCAACAAGCAGCAAAAGAAAUGGAAAAACAACAAAAAAAAAAGAAGGAGCAACAAUGUAUAACAGAUUGAUAACAAAUAAUAGAAAAAAUAGCAGUAAAUAGGAAAAAAAAUUAAAAAAUAAUGAGGGUAAUUUCAUUUUUUUCUCUGUUUUGGCUAUAAAGAGAGCCGGUCAAAAUCUCUAAAGGGGGAUUUAGAAUCAAUCAGAAAACAAGUAUUUUGUACCAACAAUUAGAGAAAAAAAAUACAAAAAUAGGGAUUGAAGGUUUUUUUUUUCUUUCGUUUCGAUUUAUUUAAAAUAGCAUAGAAAAUAAAAAGAAGGCUUACCUUGCGACGCCUUCAGAUCCUCUCGAAAAGGGGCUAAAAGGCCCUAUGUGGCACAGAUUUGACCACUGUUCACGGUGGAACCGCAGCGGAGGCGCAGAGGAUUGGCAUCAAUUUAGGCAGGGUUUGAAACCCUAGCAGAGAAAAAAUUAGGGUUGAUAGAUUUUUUUUAAAAAAAUGGCAAAAUGUUGUUUUUAAAAAAUUUUGUUUUAAAAAAAUUGUUGCUUUUAUAAAGGGUGUAAAACGGCGUCGUUUAGGGCAUGUUUCGAUGGCCCCAAAACGGCGCCUUAUAAGGCAACCCCCGACGACCCGACCUGCUCCAUGGGGGAUCCGCGUGGUUUUUGUUAAAUGGGUUAUGUCUAACCCUGGCCCUUCUACUUUUUAUACUUGUUUUAAUUUGAUCCUCUUUUUAUUUAUUUUUAUUUCUUUAAAUUAAGCCUGAUAAUUUUUUUCCAUUACAUUUUAAUCCUUAAUGAAACGGCGCGUUUUAGAGGAGAAGGGAAAAUUACCCUUCUAGUCCCUUCUUGUUAUUCGAGUGUUCAGAAGGGUCCUUUUUUGUUUAUUUUUUAUUUGCCCCAAAAUUUUGUUUUAAAGCUUAAUUUAGUCCUAUUUUGUUAUUUUAGCUAUUUUAUUAUUAGAUUAAUUAAUUUAAUAUUAUUAUUACUGCUAUUAUUUUACCCCUAUUAGUUAUAUAUUUAUUAUUAUAACUAUAUCAUUAAAUCAAUUAGUUUUUACAUUAUUAUUUCCAUUCUGUUUUUUAUUUACUUACUUAAAUACUUUAAAUGCAUUUAUUUUAUUUCUUAUUUUUUUAUGAAAUUUCAAAACUUUAGACUAUUUUUUUGUUACUAUAACCCUAAUUUCAUUCAUUUUAUAAUAGUUUUUUUUUAAAAUAUUUCUUAGAUUAAUUCCCUCGAUGUUAUUUUGUAUAUUUAUUUAUCUUUUUAAAUUUUCGAUAUUGUCUUAUUGUAUUAUUGUUGUUACUAUCAUUAUUCAUUAUUAUUGUUGAUUUUAUUCUUCUUUGAUUAAUGUUUAUGUUAGAGUAAUAGGUGUUAUGUGAUCAUUGUUAUUAUAUGUUAUAAUUUGUUGACACUCGUAUUGUAGUCAUUCGUCAGCUUAAUAUUUGAGUAACAUUUUAAAUAUUACAUUAAUUUUGACCCAAAUGCAUAAUUUUUUAAUAAGUAAUAUUUCGUAUUGUGGAAUUUGAGAGAUCAUUCCCUAACUUACGGGGUCUCGAUUUUUUUGAUAAAUCUGAAUAUAAGAACUAUUUUAAAAAAAUACGUUUUAAAAUUAUCUCGGGAAUUUAAAAAGAAGCGUGUUCUAACUUACGGAAUAUGAUCUUUUUUAAAAAUCGAGAUAAUCAAAUAUCUUUCAAAUAAAUAAACUUUUCGUGUUUAUUCUCGUUUUAGGAUUUAAGAUAUUGUGUCCUAACUCACGGGACACAAUUCUUUUUCUCGAUUAACGUGAAAUACGCCCUUUUUAAUUUUAUCUUUUUAAGUGAUUUUAACAAAAGGAUUGUAUUUUAAAUCUCUUCAAAAUUUUCAAUUUUUCGACAUUGAGACAUUAACUAAUCAAUUAGGUACCAAUUUUGGGCGUUACAAGGGUGUUAACCCUUCCUUGUACAUAACCGACUCCCGAACCUAUUUUUCUGAAUAUUAUAGGCCAAAAUUGUUUUAAUAAAUUAAACCCUUAAGAGGUGACUCGAUCACAGCUCAUAAAAAUUAUCGGUGGCGACCCUUGUUUUAAAAAAGGUGGUUUCAACAGCUUGGCGACUCCGCUGGGGACAAAAAUAAGAGUCAAGCCGCGAGUUGAUUAUUUCUUAUCUUUUUGUCAGAAAUUGUGAAUUCGAUUUAAAUUUAUGAUCUUUUCAUUGCAUUUUAUGGUCUGCAUCAUUUUUAUAUGCUUGCUUUACUACUUCGAGUCUUUUAAUCUUCGCAUAUUGUAUUGCAUAACCGUUCGGUUAUACCCUUUUAAGCGGGAGUGAGAAAUUAUUCUUUCGUGAGGUUUUCACCUUCGUAUAGGAUAGUGGAUUACUUUCAGGAUACAUCCAUACCUAUGUCUUCGUGAGAUUCUCAUCUCCGUAUAGUCAUAGGGAAAUGUAUUCCCCUGAACUGAACUCAGUCCGUAUGAGCCUAUAAUGGGUGAGGAUUGAGGAAUCUGCUGGUUCAGGUACCCUUUCUUUAGAACUAAACCGCAUGUAGUGAGCCCUAAGAGCAUACCCUAGGUAGAACCACUCCAAACCCCUAGUGGUCACCCAAAUAGGUGCUCUAUUUAUUUUUGCUUGCUUGUUUUUGCCUUGUACUAACCUAUUUGUUAUGGUUAUGAGUGCAUUGCAUUUUUAUCAUAAAAAAGAUGUGUUGAUUCACGUUCAGUUGCUAAAUAGAGAGCUUGUCAUGGAAAACGAAUUUCUUGAUAAAGUGGAAGACAAUGCGGUUGUCCGGAUAUGGUCCAAGAAAAUGUGAAGAAAGAAGGGUGAUAGUCUAAUGGAGGACUACACGACCUUGCUUCGUUGCCUGAUGAUUCAAGUUGACAAAGAUUAUUCGAGAGUCUUCAAUGUCCCGACCUUUUUAAAGAAGCUAACGAGCGUCACGAGGAUGAGCGAGUAAUGAGUUGCGGCCCGGAUCAAGCAAAAAAAAGAUAGAGGAGACACCCUUUUUGAAGAGUUCACGAGAUUUAUCUUAACAUCUAGACGAAGAAAAAGAUCAAUCUCUUUGCCUAGAGUAUGAGGGCAAAGCCGUAUAUAUAUCCGCUUUAUGUAAAUAAAUUUGUUUUCUAGUAAAGUUUUUCUAAUAGAAUUGAAUCAGAAUCAACGUCUCUUUUUGCAUUCAUUCCAUUCAUCUGCAUUGCAUUUCAUUGCAUCUAGAAUUUCACAAAAGGACCCUAAUUAAUCGAAAUUGUUAUAGCUACCUUGAAAAACUAACGAAAAUUUACCAAUUAAAUAUUCCUAUGGUACCCAUUGCAAAACUAAAGUAAUGGAUCAAAUAUUAGAAAGAUUAGAACAAAUGCUGAAGGAUAAACAUAACUGCUUUGGCUUAGGGUACAAGCCAGAUACAAGACAAAGAAGAAAUAGGAAAGGAGAACACGUUUGAGCGGGGAUGAGGUCAAAUGGGAGGGAUUAUUCAUCCCAGGCGAAGAAUGCCAAGAGAAGAAAAUAUUGAAAACAUGUUGGGAAACGUUCACAUCAAUGCCAUAUACGAAGAAGCAAUUGAAGGAGUGACCUUGUUAGAUAUCCGCCCUUAUGAACCUAAGAGUGUGCUAAACAAUUGGACUGCAGAAGAAAUUCUUGUAGUGUUUAGAGCUUACUCAUAGUAAUGUUCAGAACACACUUGUUGCUUUUAGCCUAGAAGUGAUAAGAAUCCCUCUGUGAAAUAGGCUCAUGUAUAAAAAUCAUUAUUUUAAUGAAGUACAUCUUUGCAUUCAUUUUGAGCAAAUAUUCUUUUAUUCUUUUCAUACGAGUAAUUAUUUUGGAUUCUUUAAUUCUUUUGGGAUUUUCUUCCAAAAUCAUUCUUUUAUUACAUCCAUAAUCAUACUGUACAAAUAAUGUAAUAGCCUGAAUUUUCAGUGGUGUCGGAAUGGUGAUUCAAGAUCACUAAGUCUGACAAAUGAGUAGAAAAUAUUAUUAAUUUAGUAAGAAUAAGUAAAUGUGAAGUUAGGAAAAUUUUUGAAAUAGUGAAUAGUGUACUAGGAAUAAAUAUUAAAAUAAUUAAAAUAAAAAAUGAGGUAUCGAGACCUCGAAGAUUUUAAACCAAGCCAUAAGUACUUUUAGAAGUAUUUUUAGAGUGUCAUUGAGUUGGUAUUAAAGUUUCGUUAGAAAAUUUUAACGCUCGGAUAGUUAAUUAACCAAAAAGGACUAAAUUGAAAAUAGUGUAAAAUUUGUUAAAUUGUGAUUAAAUAGCUUAAGUGAUUAAAAAGGAGGGAUUUAAAAGGCAAUUAGGCCCAAAUUAUAUGGGCUGGACGGUUGGGUAAGAAAAAUCAGCAGAAUGUAAGGAGAAAACAGGGGCAAAAUUGGAAACUUAACAAAUUAAACAUAUAAAACAAAGACAAAAGUGAAAAAUCUAGAGAUCUGUUCACAAUUUAUCAGCAAAAAUGCCAUAGGAGGUCUGAAAGAAGCUGGUUUUUCAUAUAUUUGAAUCAUGUAAGUUUAAUUCUUGAUUAUUUCUUCUAAUUUUUGUGAUUUUGAUACUUUUACAAUUAGGUCCAACUAAUUAUUUCAUUAGUUUUUGAUUUCAUGGCUGAUUUUGAAAGUUACCAUUGAUGAGUGUUGGAUUUUUAUGAUGAAUAAACAUGGAAUUAAAGCUUUAAUUUUGUUAUAUGAUGAUUUUAUUAAGUAAUUUUGAUAGAAAUUGAUUUUUGGGACCUAAUUGUGAAAAAGUUUGGAAUUAGGGUUUGGUGUUGCGGUUUUGAAUAUGAAAGGCUAUGUAGUAGUCUAAAAUAGUUGGAAAAGGUGUUAAUUGAGAAAAAUUAGAUCAAUUGAGGGGUUAAUUGAGUAGGACCAAAUUGUAAAAACUGUAAAGUUUGAGGUAAAAGUGUAAUUUCGAAAAUUUAAGGGCAUAAAUUGUGAAGUGAAUUAGAAUAGAAUUAUAUGCUGAUGAAUGAAUAAAUUUGUAUUUUAGAUCGAGAACCCGAAGCAAGCCGAGGAAAAGAAAAAGUAGUUGAUUAGUCCCUGAACUUUUACAAAUUCUGCAAAUCGACCCAGGUAAGUUCAUAUGGCUGAAAUUUAAUGAUUAAAUGUUAAUUUCAUGAAUUAUGUAAUGUAUGAUGAAAUGUAUUUAGUGUUGAAAUGAGAGUAAAAUAAAAAUGCGAAAAUCGAAUAAAUGAUCAAAUUAAGCGGAACGCCGGAUUUGAGUACUUCUGAUCAAGAGACAAAGUGAUAAGUGGUAGCUUUAGCUACACUUAUCUGAUCAAGUGAAAAAGUGAUAAGUGCUACACUUAUCUGAUCAAGAGACAAAGUGAUAAGUGGUAGCUUUAGCUCACUUAUCUGAUCAAGUGAAAAAGUGAUAAGUGCUAUACUUAUCUGAUCAAGUGACAAAGUGAUAAGUGGUAGCUUAGCUACACUUAUCUGAUCAGGGCCAAAUGAUAAGUGAUCAUACGUAAGACCAUAGUUAUACUAUGGCCAAGUGAAAGUGAAGUACUCAAUUUUCCGUAACCGUUCCUUAAUUUUGAUCAAGGAUGGUAAGUGACAAAUAGGCCCAAAGAAAUUAUGGUAAAAGAAUAAGUAGUAGUGAGUUUAUACCAAGGAACUCUCCAAAGAUUGUGGUUGACAAGUAAACUUAGUAAUGGUGUAUAUUGUAUAAGUGUACAAAUGUUUGGUAAGAUUUAUGUUUGUGCCUAUGAACUUACUAAGCUUUUCUAUAAGCUUACAUGUGUGUGUUUAUUGUUUUUCUAGAUUAACGUAUUUAUACAUUCGGAGGAUCGGAUCUACUUCGAGAAUCACACUAUCCAGAUAUACUCCGGUAGAUUUUGUUAAACAACUUUUUGGAUUUAUAUGGCAUGUACAGAGAAUUGAAGUAAAAAGUAAUAGAAUGAAUGACUGAGUAUGCAAAGUAAAUUUGAAUGUGAUGGUUGUGUUAGAUAUUGAAAAAUACAUGUUUUUAGUUUGAAAUGGUUGAUUGGCUGAACUUCGUUAGUAUUCAAGUGAAGUAGUUGAAAUACUGGAAUUGGUUGUGAUUUGAAAUUUGCAGGGAAGGUUAGAUAAAUAUAAAGGGGUUAUAUUGAUUUUUUUUUUAAAUUUCAAUGGAAUAAUUUUUGGACAGCAGCAUUGAUGUAACUUUUAAAAAUCACCAAAAAUAGUGGAAAUAGAAUUAGAAGUUGAAUGAGAUAUGAAAUUAAAUCUGAAUGAGUCUAAUUUCACAUGAAAGAAGUAGAAUAAGAAAAAGAGUUAUAUAUUUUUAGAUAUUUGAAUUUUAGUGAAACAGGGCAAGAAUGUUUUUGAAGUCCCCUGUUCUGACUUUAGAAAUUUAGUAAAAAUUGUACAAAAGGAAUUAUGAAUUAUAAUUUAUAUGUUUAAAUUCCGUAAUGAGUAUAUUUUAAGUAGAAAUAAUUGGAACCACCAUAUGAAGUCUUUGCAAUGAGAUAAUUGAAUUUUAGUGACAAGAGGUCAGGAUAGUCAAUUAGUGAAAUAGGGGAGACUUCAACUAAUAAACUGUAUUAAUUUGCUAAACCAAAAAUUCUGAAAAAUUUAUGGUGAAUAUACAUAUGAGUCUAGUUUGAGGGAAAAUUUACGGAUCUAAAUUUUUAGUUUCGUAUCUUGAGUUAUAAUUAUUUUAGUGACUACUGCGCAUGUGGACAGCUUUGUUGUGAAUGGUGAAAUUAAUUUUUAAAGUAAAUUUUUAUGCCCCGAACUUUUAAGUUCAGUCAAGUAACGCCUUAUGCUCGACUCCGGCAACCGUCUUGGGUAAGGGGUGUUAUAAAUAAUUAUUCUUAAAUUCAUACAUUCUUUGUAUAUUAUUUUGUACCUACAAUAGGUCCCUAGAUAUUAACAACAUGAGUGACGUUGCUACAGACUCAGAAUUUCCUUUUAAACAAGACAUGUGUUUAGAGGGAUCCCAUGGCUUUGAAGAUGACGUAGACUGUGGCUUAUCUCUGAAUUUGUUAAGGAUGGUAAAACAAGAGGAGAAGCAAAUCCUACCUCACAAGGAAUCAAUGGAAAUUGUGAGCUUAGAAGGGGGAAAAGAGGUGAAGAUUGAGACUAACAUUGCCACAAAGACAAAGCAUGACCUCGUUGAGUUACUCCAAGAAUUUAAAGAUGUCUUCGCAUGGUCAUACCAGGAUACUCCCGGGUUAAGUACUGGCAUUGUAGUACACUACCUUCUUAUAAAAGAAGAUUGCAAGCCAGUUUAGCAGAAACUCUGAAGGAUGAGGCCUGAUAUUGUGCUAAAAAUAAAAGAAGAAGUUAAAAAGCAAUUUGAUGUUGGGUUCUUACAAGUGGUUAAAUAUUCAGAAUGAGUAGCCAACAUCGUCUCAGUCUCUAAAAAAGAUGGGAAAGUACGAAUGUGCAUAGAUUACAGAGACAUGAACAAGGCCAGCCAAAAAGAAAAUUUCCCAUUGCCUCACAUUGACACUUUGGUGGAUAAUACAGUAGGCUACUCACUGUUUUCCUUCAUGGACGACUUCUCUGGAUACAACCAGAUAAAGAUGCAUCCCAAAAACAUGGGAAAGACUACAUUCGUGACCCUAUGGGGAAUGUUUUGCUAUAAAAUGAUGUCAUUCGGAUUAAAGAAUGUGGGAGCGACGUAUCAAAGGGAAUGGUAACCUUGUUUCAUGACAUGAUGUACAAGUAAAUCGAGGUUUAUGUUGACGAUAUGAUUGCAAAAUCCAGAACAGAAGAGGAACAUGUGUAGGCCCUAAGAAAAUUAUUCUUAAGACUGAGAAAGUUCCAGCUCAAGCUUUCCAACGAAAUGCACAUUCAGAGCUAGGUUAGGAAAGCUGUUAGGCUUCACAGUUAGUGAAAAAGGAAUCGAGAUCAACCCAGAUAAAGUCAAUGCGAUACGAGAUUUACCUCUACCAUGCACUCAGAAGGAAGCUCGAGGUUUCCUAGGAAGACUGAAUUACAUUGCUCGAUACAUUUCACAACUAACCGAAAAAUGUGACACCAUAUUAAAAUAAAAAUAGAUUAAAUUGUAAGUAAAACAUAAUUUAAACAUAUGAAUACAUCAAAUUAAUAAUACUAAAUGAAUACAGUUAUUUAUGAUGAUGUUGUUGCCAAUUCCUAAUUUGGUGUCUAGUUAAUUUGUGACAUCAUAAAUUUAAGUGAUAAAUUUAAGGUUUUAUGUAUUGAUGUGGAUUCAAAUAUCACCAUAAUUUUUGUAAAUAAAAAACUAAUAAGAUAACUUAUAUUAAGUACGAAAGGGUAUUUUUAUAAUUUCUCUAAUCGAGUUGGUGCCCGGUUGACUCAUGACACUAACUCAAUCAGAAGCUUUAAUAAUAAUAUAGAUAUUCAUGUUAAAAAAACAAAAAAAAAGUACUUUAGUUCCAAAUAAUUAUAUAACAAGUAAAUUUAUAAUUGAUGAAUAAAUUUAUAAAUAAUAUAUUUAUAUGAUCUAAUAUAUUAUAUUUAUAUUAAUUAUAUAUCAUCUACAAACUUUGAAGAUCAAUUUAUUAAGUAAAAAUGAAAUUGUUAACACUAAAUCAAUUUUUAGAUUUUGUAUAGAUGAUUUAGUGAUGAUAAAAACAUUAUUAACACUAUUUUUUAAUUAACAAAAAAUUAGUGAUAUAUUUAAAUUAUAUUUAUCAUUUAUUAUUUUUAAUAAUAUUUUUUAAUUAUAUGAAGUAAAAUUAUAUUGUAUACUAAAUAUGGUACAUAUACUCUAAUUAUAACUUGAAAUUUUAUUAUAUAAAUUAAUAUAAAUUUGAAUAACAAAAUAAAAAAAAACUAAUUAGAAUAAUUUUAAAAAACAUUAUUUAAAAGUAGUUAAAAAUCACGUGCAACAGGUGAGAUCAAUGGUCUUUAGAGAAGAAAUGUUGAAGAUCAAAGUUGGAAUCUGGCCUAUAAGGCCUUUAAUUGCUUUAAUAUUAAGCAGUUCCAAACCAAGAAGAUUACCGAUUUCCUCAGGAAUUUGACCUGCACACAUGGUCGAAAAAUCAAUGUGUCAAACUACCUAUUUUGUUAGCAUAAGUCAAAGAGGUUUUCUUUUCUAUUCUACAUAAUUUGCAGAUGUUAGAUUUUAAUAUUUUUAAGCAUAUUUGUUUUCAUCAAAUUAACUAUUUUGAACUAUUUUGCCUUGAAUGAAAUAAAAUGCUCUUACUUUUGUUAUCUAUUACUAAUCAAACUCUUUUAUAAAAAAAAUACUUUAAACUAAAGAAACCAAGAAAAUUCAAUACCUUCUAGGUUAUUCAACCCCAAAUAUAAUUCUUUGAGUCGUGUCGGAUUUCCAAUACUUCUUGGAAUGAUCCCCAUCAAUUGAUUAUAGGAAAAUGACAAAAUUUUAAGGUUGUUGCAUUUGCUUAUACUUGACGGAAUGUUACCAUAUAAUUCAUUCCGACUCAAGUAAAGCCCUUCAAGCUUGGAAAGAUGUGACACAUAUCAUUAGGCAAGCUACCUGAUAGGCUAUUGUUGGAGAGAUCAAUGGCCUUCAGAGAAGAAAUGUUGAAGAUCGAAGUUGGAAUCUGACCUGUAAGGCCUUUAAUUGCUUUAAUAUUAAGCAGUUCCAAACCAAGAAGAUUACCGAUUUCCUCAAGAAUUUGACCUGCACACAUGGUCGAAAAAUCAAUGUGUCAAACUACCUAUUUUGUUAGCAUAAGUCAAAGAGGUUUUCUUUUCUGUUCUAUAGUAAUUUGGUGAUGUUAGAUUUUAAUAUAAUUCAGCACAUGUUUUUCAUCAAAUGAAAUAAAAAGUUUUUCCUUUUGUUAUCUAUUACAAAUCAAGCUCUUUUAUUAAAAAAAUACUUUAAAUUCAAGAAAUCAAGGAAAUUAAUUACCUUCUAAAUUAUUAAACCCCAAAUAUAAUUCCUGGAGUCGUGUUAGAUUUCCAAUACUUCUUGGAAUGAUCCCCAUAAAUUGAUUAUGGGGCAACAACAAAUUUUUAAGGAUGUUUCAUUUGCCUAUGCUUGACGGAAUGUUACCAGAUAACUCAUUGCUAUGCAAGUGAAGCCCUUCAAGCUCGGGAAGAUGUUGACACAUAUCAUUAGGCAAACUACCUAAUAGGCUAUUCCUGGAGAGAGCAAUAGUCUUGAGAGAAAAAUGUUGAAGAUCGAAGUCGGAAUCUGAUCUGUAAGGCCUUUAAUUGCUUGAAUAUUAAGCAUUUCCAAACUAAAAAGAUUACCGAUUUCUUCAGGAAUUUGACCUGCAGACAUAGUCGAAACAUCAAGGUGUUAAAUUUCCUAUUUUGUUAGUGUAAAUCAAAGAGGCUUUUUAUUUUUUUUCGUUAUGAAAUAAUAUGGAUAUGUUCGAUUCUAAUCAUAUUUAAGUAUAUAUUAGUUCUUGAAAGAAUGAGUUCUUAUUUUUGGUAUUUAUAUUGCAAAUAUAUAUUUUUUUAAAUUUAAAAGAAGGGAGGGGGCAAAUGUGUUUAAACUAAAGACAUCAAGGAAAAGGCAUACCAAGUAUAAUUGUUUAAGUUGUGUCAAAUUCCCAAUGCUUUUUGGAAUGAUCCCACUAAAUUGAUUAAUAGACAAUUCCAAAAUUUGAAGGUUGCAGCAUUUGUCUAUACUUGAUGGAAUAGAACUUGAUAAUUCAUUUCUACUCAAGUAAAGCUCUUUCAGCUUGGGAAGAUGGACACACAAAUCAUCGGGCAAGCCACCAGAAAGACUAUUAUCACAAAAAUGAAUCCUUUUCAAAGAAGAAAUGUUAAAGAUGGAAGAUGGAACCUGGCCAGAUAAUUGAUUGAAUCCCAAGUUCAAGAUCUCUAGAUUGGACAAGUUGACAAGUGUUUGAGGGAUCGUGCCUGUGAAGUUAUUAUUUCUCAUUUCCAACCUUUGAACUCUGUGCAAGUUCCCAAGCCAUGGUGGAAUUUCCCCAUUAAGACGGUUGUAGCUUAAUCGAAUGAUCCUCAAACGAUGCAAUUGGCCUAAUUCUUUAGCCAGAUGGCCGUAGAAAUUGUUGUUGCUCAAGUCGAUAGAAAAUAGAAAUGAAAGAUUUCCAAGGUGUGGAGGGAUAGUACCCCUAAGAUUCAUGUUUGUAAGAUUAAUCAAAGCUACAACUCUUUCAUGGAUGAUGCCACAAGAAACACCAACCCACUUACAGACAGAGGUAGAGUUCGUCCAAUUGUUUGCCAACACAUUUUGAGGAUCGACAAUGCGAUCUUUAAACUCAAAGAGUGCAAACUGAUCGGAGUUGAGAUUCCGGACUGUCAUAGCCAAGGAAACAAUAGAACAUUGUAUGAAUAAAAGUGAAAGAAGAUGAAAGCAAGUGUUGUAGUUCAUGAUGGCAAGACGAAAUAAGCCAGGAAAAGGGAAGUUGAAUUGAUGAAGAAAUAGCCAGCCAACAUGCUUAAAUAGGCUUCAACCCUUGCACACUUCUCAUACAUAAAGUUCGCUGCCAUUACAACAAGAAAACUCAUAUCUCCAUUCGUACCUAUCCAUACUUUAUUUGACUAACUUUUCCCUAACAAGUGUUCAGUAAGGAGAUAAAUCAGUUUGGAGCUAUUCACCGGCUUCUCCAAUCUUGGUUUCAAACUCCUAACCCAUCAAUUCACUUUAAUUGAAACGAUAUACACGAGUCUUUCGGCUUAUAUUUUUAAUUUAAUUUUUGUUACUUUUCAUAAUAUUUUUUGAGAAAUCCAAAUAUUCCAGUCUGAAAUUUCUUCAUUGCCACGUCUAUCUCCUGGGUAAGUCCGUGGUUAGGCAGCCCACUUUGGGAGCAGGAUUGUAAUUGUAAUUCUAUCCGACUCAUUUUACUAUUUAGAAAUAUAAAAGUAAUAUUAUAUUAUUUUUUAUAUUUUUAUAAAUUUAAUUUUAAUUAUAAUUUUUAAACAAUAAAACGAGUCAUUUGUAUUUGCCUAGUCUAAAUUGAAUCAGGAGUCAAAAAAAUUUUAAUCAUAAUUUACUAUUAUUUUAAUUAAUUAAAAUUUAACCUACUACAACUAGUAGUUGCAGAAAAAAUGUCAUUCCUUUAGAAAAACGAAAAUCCUUUAGAAAAAUGAGAACUUAUGAAGCAUUCAAUAAGAGUCAUUGGAAUAAAUGGUAACGAAAUCAUAAUUCAAUAUAAAGCUAAAAAAUGUACCAAUCUAUAUAAAUAAUGUAAGAUUUGUGAUACCUAAAUUAUUAUAUUUUCCAUAAAUAUAUGAAGAUAUUUUAUUAGGAAAUAAUUUUAUAUAUAAAAUUUUUUAUUUUCUUUUGAUAGAAAUUUAAUUAUGUUAUCUGUAGAAAAAAAUAUUUAUAGAAAUAUUAUUAGUAGAAAAUCAUAAAUUUGUGUGUGGCAAAAAAAAUUCACCACCAAGAAAGGGGCAAAUUAAACAACUUGAAACAAGUCAUUGGUUGUUUAAAAUAUUAGAUAAUAAUUUCAGUGAAGAAUCAUUAAAAUUAUGACAAAAUAACCCUAGAUAUUGUAGUAUUAAAUUGGAAAAUCUCAAUAAUAUUAUUAGAGUAAAACCUAUGAUCUAUCUAAACAAGAUAUAGAAGAUUUUGAUAUACAAAUUAAGGUUAGAAAUCAUGCGGAAAUAAAAAAGAAAAAAAAGCUAGUAUGGUCAUUAAUUAUAAAAGAUUAAAUCAAAAUAUUAUUUUUUUAUAGUUACUUGAAUUAAUCAGGCUAAACAAACAAAAUAUUUUAGUAAAUUUGACUGCAAAUCAGGAUUCUAGCAAAUCAUGAUAACAGAAAAGUCCAAACCUUUAACGGCUUUUAGUGCACCCAAUGGACAUUACCAAUGGAAAGUGAUGUCAUUUCAAUUAUGUGAUGCACCACAAAUCUUCCAAAGACGAAUGGAUUUUAUAUUUAAUAAAUAUAAAAAAAUUCUAUGUAGUCUACAUAGAUGAUAUUUUUUAUAUUUUUAGAUACACUAGAAUUACAUAAGAAACAUUUAAAUAUUAUUUCUUAAGAAUUCAUAAAAUAUAGAAUCAUAUUAAACCCUAAAAAUAUAGAGUUAGAAAAAAGAGAGAGAAUUUUUAUAAUAGUGGAAAUAAAAAAUUGUCCUCAAAAGAUUGAAGAAAAAAAGAACUUCCAACAAUUUCUAAUAUAUUCCUCCCAAAUUUUCAGUUUCAAUUUUAUUACAGAAUUUCUUUGCCGACAAUAAGAAAUUAAGAGCGCUCUUUAAGUUGAAUAUAGUCCGUCAGAUAUGGCUAUCUAUAACAUGGAACCUUUGGUUUUCAAGCUGAAUAGGAGAAUUGAUUCACUUGAUAAGUAUGAAAAAUUGAAACUGCUAAAUUUAAGUGCACUAACUCUGGAUAUCAUCAUUAUUUUUCUGUACAUUAAAGUACCUGUUUGAUAUGCGAUUUCUGCCUCAAACUAUCAACAUCUUUAACAUCCUUUUGCUAUAGUUAGCAUGGGUACUUCCUUUUAGAUUAACAGUUAGGUUUGAACUGUGAAUUAGAUUUCUGUGGCUGCUGGGAUUGAAGAAGUUAGUAUGCGAAUGACAUUGGACAAAUUUGGCAAAGUCUUCUCCAUCAGUGAAGAAAACCCCUUGGCGUAUGAAAAAUGUUCACCAUCUUAGACAUUUGUUUUCUUAUUGUAAGAAUAUUUUUAACAUUGUAACUUUUAACAUUAUUGUAAGAAUAUUUUGAAUUAUACUUCAGUUAUCAAUUUAUAUCAUAUAUCUUUUGUUGAAUUUGAAGUAUAAUUUAUAUUUGCUGUUUUUGGUUAGAUUUCAUGCUAUAGGAAGGGUUGUAUAUGGAUAGAAAUUGAAUGUUACAAAUCUGCCAAAGUUAGUGGCGUUUUUUCAUAAGAGCUGCUAAAGAAUGCUAUUUUUGGCGGUGUUUGUAAUAAAAGAGCCGCUAAAGGUCAUGUUCUUUAGCGAUGUUUGUGGGUAAAGCGCCGCUAAAGAUCAUGUUCUGUAGCUGUGUUUGUGGAUAAAGCGCCGCUAAAGAACAUGACCUUUAGCAGCGUAUUUUCACAUAAACGCCGCAAAAUUUAGCGGCUUUGUCUAUAGCGACUUUUUUUGCAGCGCUUUAAGUUUUAGCGGCGCUUUUAGGCCUAAAAAAGGGCCGCUAAAAGCCUGUUUUGCUGUAGUGAGCAUAUUUACAUUUUCGUCCCAAUUUCAACUAACACCCCAUCUAUUUCCCACUUCCCUUUUUCGGGCAAUUUCAACUAACACCUUCAUAUCAAACAUAACUAUUUUUCAAUUUUUCUUCUUUAUUUCAUUAAUAAAAUUAUCAAUCUAUUUGUUUUUAAAUAUAUAAUUUCAUUAAUAUUUUUUAAAUUAUAAUAUAAGAGUUGUUGUUUAUUUAUAGUUUUAUUACAUUAUUUACUCUCUCUUUUCUAUCAAGUUUUUUAAAUUAUAAUAUAAGAUUUAUUUUAUCAAUUUGUGGCUUAUCCAGUAUUCAUCUAUUUUAAUAAUAACUUGAGUUCCAGUCAUUAUCAUACCAGAAAGAGUUCCAUUUAUUCUUUAUCGUAAAUUUUAUAAAAAAAUAUACAUUUUAUUAUAAUACUAUAUGUGUUACGAAUAAUAUUUUAUUGUGGAUGCCCAUAAUUUUCAAAGUUGUAACCUCUAAUGUAGUAACCUUAAUGAAAUUAUGAGGCUUUUAUAUUGUAAUCAAGCCUCUAUUUAUUCUUUGUAACUUAAACAGAAGCAUAUUUUCUAUUAUAUUGAUAUUUUUUAUAGAUAUAUAUAUAUAUAUAAGGAAUCAAAUAAAAAGUUAUUUACCUUUCUAUUAUAUUGAUAUUUUCUAUUUGAUUUGUUCUUUUCUUUCACUAUUCCAUAAUAUAUUAUCAGUACGAUUUUAACCAAGAGUAACAUGUUAUUAGAUUGUGUCAAAAUUUUGUUGAGAAUCAUUAGAUUGUUUCCUUUUUCUUCUAUUUAGCCCCAAAUUGCACCCCUACACAAAAUUCAACAAAAACAUGGAAAAAUUAGUGGUGCACUCUCAUAAAUUAACCAAUUUAAUUACAUAAAAUAUGUAACUUUAGCAUUUUAUCAAUCAUGUUCUUUAGCGGCAUUUGUGGGUAAAGCGCCGCUAAAGGUCAUAUUCUUUAGCAGCGUUUGUGAUAAAAGUGCCACUAAAUAUCAUGUUCUUUAGCGGCGUUUGUGGAUAAAGCGCCGCUAAAGAACAUGACGUUUAGCAGCAUUUUUUUACAUAAACGUUGUAAAAUUUAGCGGCGUUGUCUAUAGCGACGUUUUUUGCGGUGCUUUCAAAUAGUUUUAGCGGCGCUUGUAGGCCUAAAAAAAUGCCGCUAAAAGUCUGUUUUGCUGUAUGAGCAUAUUUACAUUUUCGUCCCAAUUUCAACUAACACCCCAUCUAUUUCCCACUUCCCUUUUUCAGCCAAUUUCAACUAACACCUUCAUUUCAAACGUAAUUGUUUUUCGAUUUUUCCUCUUUAUUUCAUUAAUAAAAUUAUCAAUCUAUUUGUAUUUUAAAUAUAUAAUUUUAUUAAUAUUUUUUAAUUAUAAUAUAAGAGUUUUUGUUUAUUUAUAGUUUUAUUAUAUUAUUUACUCUCUUUUUUCUAUCAAGCUUUUUAAAUUAUAAUAUAAGAUUUAUUUUAUCAAAUGGUGGCUUAUCGAGUAUUCAUCUAUUUUAAUAAUAACUUGAGUUCCAAUCAUUAUCAUACCAGAAAGAGUUCCAUUUAUUCUUUAUCGUAAAUUUUAUAAAAAAAUAUAUAUUUUAUUAUAAUACUAUAUGUGUUAGGAAUAAUAUUUUAUUGUGGAUGCCCAUAAUUUUCAAAGUUGUAACCUCUAAUGUAGUAACCUCAAUGAAAUUAUGAGGCUUUUAUAUUGUAAUCAAGCCUCUAUUUAUUCUUUGUAACUUAAACAGAAGCAUAUUUUCUAUUAUAUUGAUAUUUUUUUAUAGAGAUAUAUACAUAAGGAAUCAAAUAAAAAGUUAUUUACCUUUCUAUUAUAUUGAUAUUUUCUAUUUGAUUUGUUCUUUUCUUUCACUAUUCCAUAAUAUAUUAUCAGUACGAUUUUAAUCAAGAGUAACAUUGUAUUAGAUUGUGUCAAAAUUUUGUUGGACUUCAAGUAUUGGAAUUUAAUUGUUUAAGUUAAGAAUCAUUAGAAUCAAUGGCUAUUUGAGAUAUGCUUGAGGAUGAUCUCAUUCUAUUCAUCACAAAGGUGGAGGUUAGAAAAUCUUUAUGUUUAAACAUUUAUAGCUUUAAAGUUAUUUUAACCUCUUAUUGUGACCUUAUAAUAUUUUGUAAUUUUUUGUAUUAUGGUAUAUAAAAAAAAUCUAACCAUAGUGAUUGAUUAGUAAUAUGAAUUUGUUAUUUGUUAUGUUUAAUAUAUAUUUUAUUUAUACUUAUUCAUUUUAUUUUUAUAUGAGUAAAUGAAGUGUUUGAAGAUUCGAAAUUUUUAUCAUCCAAGUUGAAAAUAAGUGCAAAAGUGUACAUUAUUUAAAAUAAAUUACGCAUUCAUUAAUGUUAUAUGAUAAAAUCAUUACAUGUUCUAAAGAACUAAUAUUGCAUCAAACUGUAAAAAGCUCUUGAAGAGUUAAUAUUUUACCUCCUUGUGAUACAAAAUCAUAUACAAUAUGAUAUUAUUUUUCAAAUCGAGUAGAUAUAUGUUGAGGGAAAUCUUUAUGUGGUUUACAUUAAAACCAUGGAUAGAAAUGACAUGAGAUACUCGUGUAUUUUUAUUAUAAAUAUUCCUUGAAGGAAGACACUUCACUUGUAUGAUUGACAUAUGAGAUAGUGGCAAGAAGUUCAUAGUGUUGGUAUGGUCGUCUAGAUCAUCUCAAAUCAAUAAUGAUGCAAAAUAAUUUGAAGAGAAUUUAUAUGAUUUUAUUGAAGAAUGAGAAGAUAUUUUCAUUUUGAUAAUUGUCAUCAAUACUAGUUCUUUGGAAAAAAAAUAUUGAACUAACAUAAAGUUAGAGGUUGGUUGCAUUUUUUGAUGAUAUCCAAAUAAUAUAUGAGCUCAUGUAUCACAUGUAUGCAACCCAAAGUUUACAGUAUUAUUUCUUGAAAUAAUUUGAUUCUACACAAUCUCUAUAGUAUGCAAUUUGUGCUAACAACGUUGGUGCAUUAUAUCCUAAGCUUGAUUUUCGUAGUUUUAGCUGAGAUAAUAUUAAGUUGUCUAUGCCUAUAUAUGUUAUACUUAAUGGUUAGCAAAAUUGUGCCUCCAUUUAAUUGCUUAACCAUUAAUAUAAGAAUAACUUUAAAAUAAGCAUGUAAUUUUAUUUGCAUAGAGUCAACAUGUAAGAAACAUUUGCCCCAUGAGAAUUGGCUUUCAUUUAUAAGCCAAUAGGUUUCAUAUGACUAUUUGGAUGUAAAAUAUCUAUUUUAUAUUCCACCAUAAUGCACUAAGAUGGUCCAUCAAGUAUGAAGUUGAGAAAAUUUAGAAUUUUUAUUUGAUGGUAAAAGUUGAAAAGAGAUAUAUACUUAUAAUUUUGAAAAAAAUAGUCAUGUUGCAAAUUUUUCUCAAUAUUAGGGGGAGACAAGUUGGACAAAUAAGGAUAAUUAUGUCAUCACUUUUUGUGAUCCCUCACUAAUAUUAUGUGCACAAAGUUUGAAGGAAAAAAGUAUUUGCUAGACAUGUUUAGUGAUGACACUUAGAGAUUGUAUAUACUAGAUGAUACAUAUACCAGCUAAAAUGUUCCAAAUAAUUAUGAGUCCUAGAAGGACAUAGUGAUAAAAAUAAUUUUUGGGCACGCUAGAAGGAUAAAAAACUAGUUCAUUCUAUAAAUCAAAAAAUUCUUGAAAGAAAAGAGUAAGAAAUGAAGCUGGCCACACAUUAAAGGAAACGAGUACUCAUGAAGAGACCUAAGGCAUAACUUUUAAUAAAACCCCAAAAGAGGUUCAAUACAUGGAAUUAUGAAUAUAAUAAGAUAUCUCGAUUAGUUAUAUCAUAACUAAAGAUGAUGGGGUUGAUAAAAGGAAAUUGUUGUUAACAACGAUAAUCUAAGUAGAACAUUUCAAUAUUAUGGUAAAAUGAGUAUUUUGAAUGAAAAUAUACUUGAAAGUAUUUAGAUGGGAACAACUCAUCAAAAUAAAUAGACGUUUCUAUUAUAACUUAUGAAAUGUGUCUCGGACAUGAAGUCCAAACAUUCGACAGGUGUAAAGCCAAGUGGAGUAUAUGUUAGCAUAAUAGUGAAAAAAUACAAAUCAUAAUAUAUAAAAUUGACUUGUAAGACAAACUUUCCCAAGACACUUGAUUUUGAUUAUGAAAAAUGAUUAAUUUGUGAUCUUAUCAAUUGAACAUACUUUGUAUAAUCAACAAAUUAUUAAUUAACCUCAUUUAACCAAUUUCCUUCAACACAUUUCAAAUCAAAUUAAUGUGUUGAGCACGCCCUUAACCCUUUUUCUUGAUUCAUUGCAUAGUCUAUUUCCAAGUACCAUAAUCAUCAACAUUUCAAUAUAUAAAGUCAUAACAUAAUGAAUCAUAGUUAGAAUUUUUUUUACCCUAUUAACCAAGUAUGGAACAAAAAUAAAAACCUAAUUUGUCAAGCUCAUUCAAUCAGCUUAUAUAUUAUAAGAAGAGCCUAAGUAUAAAUCCUAUACAUGAUUUCAAAUUCAACUAUUUAUAUUUGAGAUUCAAUUUAAAAUUCAUACUGAAAUUAUCAAAUUAACUCGUAAGCUACUCACGCUAAACAUUAAGGUACUCGAAUUCAAGUGGCUAGAUAUCAUAAACACUUUUAGCUUGUAAAACUAUUUCUAAGGGUCAGCCCAGAAUCAUGGUUGAACCCAAAAUCUGGUAACAAAAAUUUAAUUGAGCCAUCAGCCUAAAACAAAAAAGGCUUAAAAGGUUGGCACCCGAACAAUCAAAGAUAAACACCACCAUAUGCCACUCCCUGAAUCCGAUACAUACAAUAACACCCUUCACCACUUUUAUUCUUCUCCUUUUUUUUAACCUCAAUUUGGAUGGUCGCAUUUCUCUUUUUAGUGCUUUAUAGGGUUUGGGCUUUCAGAAUCCUCAGAGAUGCAAUUCAUGGAUCCCUCUAAGAAAUGCAAGCUUGAUGAAAAUGGUAUUAUUUCAACGGCAUCAGAACCUGACCCAAUCACCAAACUAACCCCACAAGAUGGCCGCAAGCUAAUCGAGCAAUUUAUCGUCGAUCAACUCCUUGACGUCCUCCAAGAUGCUGUUUGUUGUCACCUUGAUGUUCUUUCCGCCGUACACUCUAUUGCCGAUCAAGAUCCAUCUCAAAGGAAGCUUUUCAUCCGUGGUUGGGUUGGGAUACUACAACCCAACCCAACCCACAUUAGCAUACUACCAUGCGGUAACUUCUAGUGAUUUCUGUCUGUAACAUUAGACAGGUUAACAGUUAAAUCGUUCAACUGAAAGAUUUCUUUGAAGGAAGAGGUCAAUUGAUUUUUUUUGGAAUCAUUGUGUACUCAGUUGCAUUUAAGACGGGUAUCAUUCAUAAAGUAUAUAUCUACAUCAAGAAUGGUAGCCUCUUAUAUUAUAUUCAUGUAUUUAUUUUGCAUCUUUAAUUAUAAUAGGAUUUUUUUUGUUUAUUUAUAGUUUUAAUUAUAAUAUUUUUUAAAUAUGCCAAAGUAAAUUAUGUACCAAUUUUAAACUUCUCCUAGGUAAUUUAACGUAAGGGCAUUUAUGUUAUUUUACCACUUAUGAUAAAACUAACCUAAUUUUAGAUCUAAGUGUUUACCAACCUUCUUUUAGUCAAAUUAUGCAAGCCUAAAAUUUUUAGCUUAAUUUGAGUUUGUUUACUAUGUCUAAUUCAAGUUUUAUUAUUAAGAACUAAAUUGUAACUUAAACAAAUUAGAAUACCAAUUUAAAGAGACAAAAAUUCAAAGCCCCAAAACCCACACGGGCAUGUGGGUAAGUGACACAGGCGUGUGGAAACUGGAGCUAUCACACACGGGUGAGUGGGACUGAAAAAUAUGAAAUAAAUUAAUCCAUUUAAAUUUCCAACAACCAUGCUAUACUACCAAACCAAAUAAUGUUAGAAGCUUUGAAUAGGGGCGAAUCUUAAAAAAAAUAGAAGAAUUAGAAUUAAAUUAUAAAAUUUUGAGAAGUUGUCAUGUAUUAAUUUAUUAUUUUUUAAAGGGUCUUAAUAGAUUUUUUUUCCCCAUUUUGGUUUGGCCAAUACCCCUGUCUGCCUCUUUCAAUUUGCUUCAACCCUUAGCCCAAUAUUCGAUUUGUUGUGGAAGUUUGACGCAUAAAAAUUCCUUUUUUAGAGGUUUAAAUUAUAAAUUUUUAUUAACAAAAUAUAAAAGAAAAAAACAUGUGUAGACAAGCCAAGAAACCUUUGGGAUCAUACAGGUGAUUUUGAGAUGUUCAUGGUUAUUUUGGUGGAGAGGGUAAAAAAGAAACAAAUGAUUCAUUAUAUAUGAUAUAAUUAUGAAAUUCAAGCCAUAUAUUGUAUGUUUCAUCCAUACAAAUUUCUUGUAGCAUUAAAUGACUCGUAGGCUUGCUGAAUUUCUUUGAAAGGCCCAAAGGCAAUUUAACAUUCACAAAAUAAUCUCUAAAUAGUGUAAAGACAAAUCAAAUCCACAGUAGCAUUAGAGUUGAUUAAGCUAAGCAUUGGCAAAUAUUACUUUGAUUUUGCAUGCAAUAUUGGCAAAACCCCCUCUUACAUUAGAAAAACAACAUAAUCCAUGAAACAUUGAUAGCCCAAUACAAAUUUCAUCGAGAAAAAAGUCUCUUUGUUUUGUAGAACAUGAUAGUAAAGAUGUGGAGUUUCGUUCUUCUUAUUGGCCUCCUUUAGUUUUCCUUGAUCAACAACCACUAGCCAAAAACACAAUUAGAUUAGAUUAUGAAUGAUACUUUCAACUAUGACAAUAUUAAAUACAAACCACUCUAAAUAACUCUAAAUAAAUGGAAAGCAGCAAAUUACCAGACGAGGCAAGCUAGCUCAAUUAAGACCAUUGUGUUAUACUUGUCUCUGAAUUGAAAAAUUUAGAAGGAAAUAAAGAGAAAGACUUAGAAAAUACUUGAAAACAGAAAAAAAAAUUAUGUCAUUUAAAAUAAAAAAUUUCUAUUCAAGCCAUUUAAAAUUUGUAAGAUUUUUAAAAUUUUAAAAUGAUAAAGGUAAAAUUGUACUUUGGCACCCCAAAAAUGAUAAAACUUUGAUUUAAUUAUUUAAAAAUUAUAAAAAUAUAGGCUAUUAAAAUGGUGAAAUUAUAUUUUUACUAUAGUAAAAAUUACAAUUUAAUUUCACCCCUAAAAGGAUUUUCUGGCUUCGCACCUAAUAAAAUCUUUGGCAAAAGACUAAAAUAAAAUUAUACCAUGAAUGGAAAAAGAAACUAAUAAAAUCCAAUCUAACAAAGAAAAUAACUUGAUGUCCAAAAGCUACCAUAAACCGUAAUUCAUGGGAAGGCUUGUUGCUUAUUUUAUUGGUUUCCAUUUUGAAAGAAGUUUGAAUUUUGAAGAGAGCCUACUACGUGAAAGCAAAAGAAAAAAAAAUAGUUUAUAUGAUUAAAAUUCCAGAAUAGAUUAAAAAUGUUGAAUUAAAGAUAAAAUUAAGUGUGAAUUAAUAACCACAAGUGUACUCUUUACUCACCAUCUCUGUUAAAAAUGUUGGAUGUUGUUUAGCAACCUUUGUUUGAUUUUCUUCAGCUCAACCACAACAUCUUUCAUAUCUUUUCUUUCUUCUGGUAACUCAGCUGAACAAUUCAAAGCCAACUCCAUGAUAGAUGAAAUACAAUUUGCUUUAACAACAAUGUACUCAUCCUCUCUUCUUAAUAAAUCAACAUCUGCAAUUUCUAUCGCUCCUUUAGGCAAUGAUCUUUCCAUCCAAUGCCUUAUACUCUCUUCUUCAACAAAAACCUUAUCAGUUGGCUUUUUCUUUGUGAAAGUUUCUAUAAGGACGAUCCCAUAACUAUAGACGUCAGAUUUUAUAGAAACAAUUCCUGCUGAUCCAAAUUCUGCAUUUCAAGUAUAAUUAGAACAUCAUUCAUCCUCAAUUAUUUCUAAAACGCUUAUUCAAAUAUCUAUCCACAUACACGUGAAACAAGAAUAUAAAAUACAAAUUAGGAAAAUAAUCAUACAAAAAUAAAAAAAAGAAUUCACCUGGUGCCAUAUACCCAAUAGUUGCAAGAGUCAUGGUUUGCUUCAUUACUUCACCUUCUCCCAACAAUUUGGCAACGCCAAAAUCUCCAACAUGUGCAACCAUGUCUUCAUCUAGUAAAAUAUUGCUUGGUUUUAUGUCACAAUGAAUUAUAGGUGUUGGAUGUCCAUUGUGGAGGUGUUCUAUAGCUACCGCAACAUCUAUCAUUAUGUCGACCCUUUGUAUGAUACCAAGGAAACAAUUUUCAGAAUGUAACCAUUUCUCAAGGUUUCCAUUAGACAUGUAAUCAAGCACCAAGGCUUUGAAGUCAACACUUGAGCAGUAAGUAAUGACCUUCACAAUAUUACGAUGAACUAUAUUAAGCAUAGCAUCACAUUCAAUGUCAAAACUCCUAAAUGCUCCCUCUGUUUGCAAAUUGAAAACUUUUAUUGCAACUUCCAUUCCAUCUGAAAGCCUCCCUUUAUAUACAUAUCCAAAACUCCCUGAACCAAGCGUAUUGCUUUCCUCAAAUCCAUUAGUUGCUCGUGAAAGUUCAGCAUGUGAAAUUCUUCUCAGUGUCUUCAAAGACAACAAAUCAUCUUUAACUGGUAGAGCUGUACUCCUUUGGCAUCUUCUAUACAUAAUAGUUAAGACUAUUAGUACUAGGACAAUACCAAUUGUUGGUAAACCAUACCUAAAAGCAUGCAAUAUAAUCAUUUGGGAGUUUUUGUGGAUGUCAUUUUUGCAAGGUGGGACUAGCAAUCUAGGUGGACCACAAAGUGCACAAUUAUUCAUGAAUGAUGUGCUAGAAAAGUUUGAAAAACAUCCUUUGCUGGGAAUUUCCCCUUCAAGUCUAUUGAAAGACACAUUAAAAUACUUUAGAUAUAAAAGCUUUUCCAAAGAUUUGGGAAUGACUCCAGAGAGAUUGUUAUUGCAUAAAUCCAAGAAUUCCAAACUAAUCAACCCAUCAAAUGAUUCAGGGAUAUGACCAUGUAGUAUAUUAUUUGAUAAAUCUAAUGAAACCAAAGUUUGAAGACCCCCAAAUGUGGAUAAGAUAUCGCCCAUGAGAAGAUUCCUUGAUAAAUUUAGUCUCAGUAGACUCCUAAAGUUUCCAACAUCAAUAGCAUGCGAAUUGUGAAGAUGGUUUGAUGAUAAAUCUAUUUCUAAGAUAUCUUUAAGAUUCCAUAAAGUUGAGGGUAUUGCGGAACUCAAUUUGUUGGAAUCUAACCAAAGAUAUCUCAAAGCAGAAAUAUUACCUAAACAAGAGGGUAUGGAUCCAUGCAGCUUAUUCAACCCUAAAUACAUCUUGAAUAGUCUCUCCAAACCACAGAGGCUUUCUGGGAUAGGCCCUUCUAAUUUAUUAGAGGAAAGAAAUAGACCUUGGAGAUUUAUCAUUCCUCCUAUUGAUGCUGGAAUCAAUCCACUUAAUUUAUUAUAGCCAAGUUGUAAAACCAACAUGUUGCUUAAGUUACCUAUUUCCAUAGGAAUAAUGCCUUGAAGCUCACACUCUGUGGCACGAAAGUAUUGAAGGGAUUUUGAAAGGUUCCCGAAAUAAGUAGGAAGAACGCCACUCAAUGGAUUUCCUGAAACAAUUAUUCUUUUCAAAUGCUUGCAAUUCGUCAAAGAAGAAAGAAAGCUCCACUCAUGAUCAGUAGCAGAUCCUGUGAUCAAAUUAUUGUUUACGAUUCCGAACCAUUCAAGGUGUCUUAAGCUGCCAAGCAUUUUAGGGAUUGGGCCAGAGAAUAAGUUUUCUGACAAGGAUAGAAUCUUAAGCAUGGAAGCAUUGGAGAUAGAGUUGGGAAUGUUUCCGCUAAGUUUAUUUCCCCACAGUAAAAGAAUCUGAAGCUUUGGAGCAUUGGUAAUGGGUGGUAAAUUACCUGUAAAAUAGCAUCUUUUAGAAAACAUAUUCAUUGAAUACCAAAUUCACAAAAUAUAUAAUACAUUAAAAUAAAAACUGUAAAACUUUAAAUCAAUUAAGAAUAAAAUUUUGGCAUGGAAAAAUGUGAUGAAAUCAAUUAGAAAGUUGAGACAUAAUAAGAAGUUUUGAGUAGUAAUUAGUCCUUGUGAUUUGUAUAGACAAAACAUAUAAUACACUGAUAAUUUUUUUAAAAUAUUGUAAAACCUGAAAUAAAAUAAAAAAUAAAAGUUUGGCACAAGAAUGUGGCAUCUAAUCAUUCUUAAAAAUAAGACUAACAUUAAAUAAUAAUUAGUUAUGAUUUGAGAAACAAAAAUGUUAAAGAUGUAAACUGGUAUGAUUUUUAUCUAUUGGGUUAAUUAUUUAUUUUUAUUAAAUUAUAUAUAGUGUAAAAUUUAAAGAUUAUUAUUUGCUCAAAAUUUUUGUAUUUUUCGUAUAUUUGAAAUUUAAUCUUUAUAUUUUUUUAUUUUCUGUGAUUUAGUCUCUCUACUUUUUAAAUUGAAAAUUUUAAGUUUAUUUAUUAACACUGUUAAAAAGUUUUUGUGUUAGUAUGGCAUUUUGAAAAAUAAAAUAAACUUGAUAUCUAUGUUUUUAAUUAUUCCAAAUACUGUUUUACUAUUCCAAGAUAAAUUAUUUGUGUCUAGACCAAUAUCUGAAGAACUAUUGUUGCAUGUUUAAUUAUUCUAAAGAAUUGUUGAUUGAGUCUUAGUUGAAGUGCACUAUUCUCCUAUUUAUGAAUUGGGGAGUUGAUAAAGUACUAAAUUUUGAUAUAUUUUAAAAAAUUAAAAAUUUAUUAAAAUAUUUUUAUAAAAAUUGAUUGUACCAAAAUAUACAAUUUUAAUAUCAAAUUUUUAAUUUUUUAAAAAUAUUAGCGAAUAUAUACUUUAUUUCAAGUUACACAAUUUUUACUAGUUUUUAACUUUUUUUUUAAAUUUUUAUCGUCUUUUAUAAUUUCAUAUAAUUUUUUAUAAUUUUUUACAAUAUUUACAAUUUCUAACAAUUUUUAAUAAUUUUAUUAUUUAUUAUAAAUUUAAAAAUUAACAAAUUUUUAUUUUUUUAAAACAAUUAUAUAUUUAUAAUGUAGUUAUUUUUUUAUAAUUUUUUUUGAAAUUUAAAGAUUUUUUUGGUUUUUUCUAGAUGAUGAUGCCAUCAUGAUGUCAUCAUAUGCCACAUGGCAAUUUAUAAUUAGUUGACUAUCUCAAUCUAUUUUUUUAACGUCCAAUGGACUAAAACAAGAACACCUGAUAAUGUUAGAGACUACACUAGGAAUGUUUGAUAAUAUUAGGUACUAAAGUGGGCAAAAAAAAUUAAGGACUAUAUUAAAAAUAUAUCUAUAAUAUAUAUAAAUGCAUGGAUUUUGAGAAACUUUUGAAAUGACAAAUAUAUAGUCUUUGUUUUUUUUUACUAUAUUAUUGAAUUUUUUAUUUUAAAUAUUUUUUUAUUACUUUUAAGAUUUAUCAUAUGUAUGGAUAAAAAUUUUGGUUUUACUAAAAUAUUUGGUUAAAUAAAUUCACUUUAUAAAAAAAUUUAGCAUCCUUAUAAAUAACAAUUUUGAUUCCAUUAAAAAAAUUAUUUAAUAAUAUAUAAUAAAAAUUUAAAAUUUAUAUUGAAUCACUUUAUACUUAAAUUAUUAUUAGAAACUUUAUCAUACACAUAUGUGUAUGAGAACCACGUUUUCAGAACUUAAAUUUGUGUUCUAAAAUAACUUAUGAUAAAUAAUUAAAUGUAUAAUUUGAAAUUAUAUUGAAAUAAAAAUAGAUUAAAUUGUAAGUAAAACAUAUAUAAUUUAAACAUAUGAAUACAUCAAAUUAAAAAUACUAAAUGAAUACAUUUAUUUAUGAUGAUGUUGUUGUCAAUUCAUAAGUUGGUGUCGAGUUAAUUUGUGACAUCAUAAUUUUAAGUGAUAAAUUUAAGGUUUUAUGUAUUGAUGUCGAUUCAAAUAUCACCAUAAUUUUUUUAAAUAAAAAACUAAAGCACCCUCAAAUAAUAUAACUUAUAUUAAAUAUGAAAGGGUAUUUUUGUAAUUUCUCUAACGAGUUGGUGCCCGGUUGACUCAUGACACCAACUCAAUCAAAAGCUUCAAUAAUAAUAUAGAUAUUCACGUUUAAAAAAAGUACUUUAGUUCGAAAUAAUUAUAUAACAAGUAAUUUUAUAAUUGAUGAAUAAUUUUAUAAAAAUAUAUUUAUAUAAUCUAAUAUAUUAUAUUUAUAUUAAUUAUAUAUCAUCUACAAACUUUGAAGAUCAAUUUAUUAAGUAUCAGGAAAAGAAAAAAUGAAAUUGAAUUAACACUAAAUCAAUUUUUAGAUUUUGUACAGAUGAUUUAAUGAUGAUAAAAACAUUAUUAGCACUAUUUUUGAAUUAACAAAAAAUUAGUGAUAUAUUUUAAUUAUAUUUUUUAUUUUUUAUUUUUAAUAAUAUUUUUUUAAUUAUAUGAAGUAAAAUUAUAUUGUAUACUAAAUAUGGUACAUAUACUUUAAUUAAAACUUGAAAAAUUAUUAUAUAAAUUAAUAUAUUUUAAUUAUAUUCAACCAUUUGAAUAACAAAAUUAAAAAAAACUAAUUAGAAUUAUUUACUUUUUAAAGUUUAAUGGAAAAUAAAAAAUUAAAAAUAAAUCAAUUCAUAUAAAUCUUAUUGUUUAUUAUCAGAUUAAAAUGAUAAAAGUAUAUGACAUACAUAGAAGAAACAAAUUCAACACAAUGUUUUUGGAGUUUGGAAAAAAUUAAAGUGAAAAACAUACCUUCUAAUUUGUUGUUAAAUAGAUCUAUUUCUUCGAGCGUAGUUGAAUUAAAAAUACUUGAUGGAAUCUGACCUGCACACAUAGUCGAAAAUUGAAGUGAAAUCAAACUCUUUUGUGAAAAAAAUAUUACCAGAUAAUUCAUUCCAACCCAGGUAAAGCCCUUCAAGCUUGGGAAGAUGUUGACACAUAUCAUUAAGCAAACUACCUGAUAGGCUAUUGUUGGAGAGAUCAAUGGUCUUCAGAGAAGAAAUGUUGAAGAUCGAAGUUGGAAUCUGACCUGUAAGGCCUUUAAUUGCUUUAAUACUAAGCAUCUCCAAACCAAGAAGAUUACCGAUUUCCUCGGGAAUUUGACCUGCACACAUAGUCAAAAAAUCAAGGUGUCAAACUAUCUAUUUUGUUAGCAUAAGUCAAAGAGGUUUUCUUUUCUGUUCUACAGUAAUUUGAAGAUGUUAGAUUUUAAUAUAUUUCAGCAUAUGUUUUUCAUCAAAUGAAAUAAAAAGUUUUUCCUUUUUAUUAUCUAUUACAAGUCAAACUCUUUUAUAAAAAAAAAUACUUUAAAUUCAAGAAAUCAAGGAAAUUGAUUACCUUCUAGAUUAUUAAACCGCAAAUAUAAUUCCAGGAGUCGUGUUAGAUUUCCAAUACUUCUUGGAAUGAUCCCCGUCAAUUGAUUCAAGGACAAGGACAAAUUUUUAAGGUUGCUGCAUUUUCCCAUACUUGACGGAAUGUUACCAGAUAACUCGUUGCUAUGCAAGUAAAGCACUUCAAGCUUGGGAAGAUGUUGACACAUAUCAUUAGGCAAACUACCUGAUAGGCUAUUGUUGGAGAGAACAAUGGUCUUCAGAGCAGAAAUGUUGAAGAUCGAAGUUGGAAUCUGACCUGUAAGGCCUUUAAUUGCUUGAAUAUUAAGCAUUUCCAAACCAAGAAGAUUACCGAUUUCCUCAGGAAUUUGACCUGCACACAUGGUCGAAAAAUCAAGGUGUCAAACUACCUAUUUUGUUAGCAUAAGUCAAAGAGGUUUUCUUUUCUGUUCUACAGUAAUUUGAAGAUGUUAGAUUUUAAUAUAUUUCAGCAUAUGUUUUUCAUCAAAUGAAAUAAAAAGUUUUUCCUUUUUAUUAUCUAUUACAAGUCAAACUCUUUUAUAAAAAAAAUACUUUAAAUUCAAGAAAUCAAGGAAAUUGAUUACCUUCUAGAUUAUUAAACCCCAAAUAUAAUUCCAGGAGUCGUGUUAGAUUUCCAAUACUUCUUGGAAUGAUCCCCGUCAAUUGAUUCAAGGACAAGGACAAAUUUUUAAGGUUGCUGCAUUUUCCCAUACUUGACGGAAUGUUACUAGAUAACUCGUUGCUAUGCAAGUAAAGCACUUCAAGCUUGGGAAGAUGUUGACACAUAUCAUUAGGCAAACUAUCUGAUAGGCUAUUGUUGGAGAGAACAAUGGUCUUCAGAGCAGAAAUGUUGAAGAUCGAAGUUGGAAUCUGACCUGUAAGGCCUUUAAUUGCUUGAAUAUUAAGCAUUUCCAAACCAAGAAGAUUACCGAUUUCCUCAGGAAUUUGACCUGCACACAUGGUCGAAAAAUCAAGGUGUCAAACUACCUAUUUUGUUAGCAUAAGUCAAAGAGGUUUUCUUUUCUGUUCUACAGUAAUUUGAAGAUGUUAGAUUUUAAUAUAUUUCAGCAUAUGUUUUUCAUCAAAUGAAAUAAAAAGUUUUUCCUUUUUAUUAUCUAUUACAAGUCAAACUCUUUUAUAAAAAAAAUACUUUAAAUUCAAGAAAUCAAGGAAAUUGAUUACCUUCUAGAUUAUUAAACCCCAAAUAUAAUUCCAGGAGUCGUGUUAGAUUUCCAAUACUUCUUGGAAUGAUCCCCAUAAAUUGAUUAUAGGAGAAGGACAAUUUUUUUAAGUUGCUGCAUUUGCCCAUACUUGACGGAAUGUUACUAGAUAAAUCAUUCCGACUCAGGUGAAGCCCUUCAAGCUUGGGAAGAUAUUGACACAUAUCAUUAGGCAAACUACCUGAUAGGCUAUUGCUGGAGAUAUCAAUAAUCUUCAGAGAAGAAAUCUUUAAGAUGGAAGAUGGAACCUGACCAGAUAAUUGAUUGAAUCCCAAGUUUAAGAUCACUAGAUUAGACAUGUUAACAAGUGUUUCAGGGAUUGUGCCUGUAAAGUUAUUAUUUUUCAUUUUUAGCCUUCGAACUCUCUGUAAGUUCCCAAGCCAUGAUGGAAUUUCCCCAUUCAGACGGUUGUAGCUUAAUUGAAGGAUCCUCAAACGAUGCAAUUGGCCCAAUUCUUUAGGGAGAUGGCCAUAGAAAUGGUUGCUACUCAAGUCGAGAGAGAGUAGAAAUGAAAGAUUUCCAAGGUGUGGAGGGAUAGUACCCCUAAGAUUCAUGCUUGUAAGAUUCAAAGCUAUAACUCUUUUAUGGAGGAUGCCACAAGAAACACCAGUCCAAUUGCAAACAGAGGUUGAGGCCAUCCAAUUGUCUGCCAAGACAUUUUGAGGAUCGGCAAUGCGAUCCUUAAACUCGAGAAGUGCAAAUUGAUCGGAGUUGAGAUUCUUGGCUGUCAUAGCCAAGCAAAGUACGGAACAUGAUAUGAAUAAAGCUAAGAGAAGAUGAAAGCAAGUUUUGUAGUUCAUGAUUGCAAGACGGAAUAAGGCAAGAAAAUAAAAAAAGUAGGAAAAGGGAAGUUGAGUUGAUAAAAUAGUUUGGAUGAUGAAGAAAAGCCCAGAGAGCAUACUUUAAUAUGUUUCAACCCUCGCACACUUGAUAAACUUGAUAAAUAUAUUUUGAUCUAAUAAAUGUAAAAAACUUUUUAAACAAAAUAAGGUUGAAAUAAUCUAUUUGUCCUUAUACUUUGAUAAAAUUUGAGAUUUAGUCCUUAUACUUAAAAGGAUAAAAGUGUUGUAGUUCUUGUUGUUUUUAUUUAAAAAUCUUAGUCCUAUCGUUAAUUUUUUGGGUCAAAAUUUGUCAACUGUACAUAUUAAUUAGGUUUCCCUUAUAUGUUGUUGUAUAUGACUAACACAAAAUAAGCAAGUUGACAAAUUAUGACAAAAAUAAUCAAAGAUGAUAAUAAUUUAAUUAAAAUUUUCAAAUUGAAUUAAUAACCUUUAACAUAUAAGGAAUGGAUAUCAAAUAUUUAUAGGAAAAAAGGGACUAACAACAUAUUUUAACCACAAAAUAAUAUGAGUGAUUAGAAUGAAUCUAAAAGAGACUAACAACAUAUUGAUAACUUUGAAAUCUCCUUCGAUCAUCCUUUUUCUACGUAGAAAAUGAAAAUUAAUUAGCAUCUAAAGUGUCAAUUAAUGAAACCUUCAAAAGAAAAUGUGAAAGUGAUUUAUCAAAAAAUAAUAUUUUAACUUAUAAAAUAUUUAAUUACAUUUAGUAAUUUAUCAAUCAAAAUUUAAUUAACAUCCAUCAAUACUUCAUACAUAAGUAAAUUUACCAUUUAACUCAGAUUUAACUUUGCAAGUAAACUUAAAAUUUUAUUUAAUUUUGUCACUAAAUUUAAUUUGUUCAAUAUAGAUUUUGGUGACUUAAAACAAAAUUAAUAAAAAAUUAUAUUCUUUCAGACAUCUUUUUAAUGUUUAAUAAUAAAAUAAUUUAUAAAAUAUACUUUCAUUGGACACAAGCAAGGCGAUGAACCACUGACCAAAUUAAUUUGGAUAUAUCUUUUUUCCAAAUAAAGUGAAUUUACGAGUUUUGUUUUUUUUUUAAUAUUUUUGUGGAUAUCAAGUGAUACCAAAAAUUAUUUCACUAAGAAAUUUUAAUUCACUUGAAAAGUUAGUGUUUUAUUUCAAGGGGUCAUAAUUAUAAAUUUUAAAUUUUUUGACAAUUGUGUAAUUAAUAAAUACCAAUUUUGACUGUUGUAGGGCUAGUACAAUCUCCCUUACGCAUAACCGACUCUUGAACCUACUAUUUUCUCUAGAAUUUAACGCAGACCUUAAAUUUAUCUUUUAAAAAGAAUUUUAAAAUCUCUAUAUAAAAGGUGUAAAAAUAUAUAUUUUAUUAAUUACUAUAUAUUAUUUUAUUUUCAGAAUAAUAAAUAGUUUAAAAUAUGCUGCUAGUCCCUAUAGUUUAAAAGUUAAAAAGUUUUUGGCAUCUUGAGUGCAUCAAAUUUCUCCUUUUAUUAUUAAAUGUUUUAUUUUAGUUACUCUAAUUAAAUAUAUCCAAAUUGUAAUAGAGUUAAUAUUUAUUAUAUAAAAAAAUAUUUUAAUUUUUUUUCAAUUGUAGUUUAAUUCUAGUAGAAAUAUUUCAUUUAUAAAAUCAUAAAACUUUAAAAUAUUAACUUUGUUAAAUAAAAAAUGAUUUUUUUAAACUGUAAAUUUUGACUUUAUUAACCCAAAUGGGUCUUUAGGGUUAAACUUCAGUAAUUGACGAGCUCUUCCACAAACUGUGGAUGAUUUGGGGAUAAAAACUUCAAUAAUUCUAGAGUUAAAGUGUAAAUUUACUACUAUAUUAUAAGUAAAUAUUGAAAUUUAUCACUAAAUUUUAAUUGAUACUUGUCAUUACACUUUGAAAAUAUAAGUAAAUUUAUCAUUUAACUCAUAUGUGAUUGAAGUUUGCAAGUAAACUUAAAAUUUUAUUUAAUUUUGUCACUAAAUUUGAUUUAUUUAAUUAUAUUUACAACUCAAUAUAGAUUUGGUGACUUAAAACAAAAUUAAUAAAAAAACUAUUCUUUCAGAUAACUUUUAAUGUUAACUAAUAAGUUGAUUUAUAAAAUAUACUUUCAUUGGACACAAGCAUCCAAGGCGGUGAACAAACCACUGGUCAAAUUAAUUUGGAGAUAUCCUUUUUGCGUUUUUCUUUUUUUUUAAAAAUAUUUUUAAUAUUUUUGUGGAUAUCUCCAAAUACCAAAAAUUAUUUCACUAAGGAAUUAAUUAGUAUUUUAAGGGUUCACAAUUAAACUUUAGACUUUUUAUUUUUAAAUUUGGAAUUUUUUGACAAUUGCAUAAUUAACAAGUACUAAUUUAGAGUGUUGCAGGAUUAUUACAACCUUCCCUACACGUAACAGACUCUUGAACCUACUUUUUUCUCUAGAACUCAAUGCAAACCUCAAAUUUAUCUUUUUAAAAGAAUUUUAAAAUAUCUAUAUAAAAGGUGAUUUUUUUACCGAUCACACUUAACAAAAUUUUAAAAAUUAUUAAUUUCUUUUUGAAAUUUAAAGUGAUCUAAAACUAUAUUUUUAAGUGCUUUAGACCAUGCGGUGCUGAUUUCUUUAUUGUAUUAAAUGCUUGCAAUCACUCCUUGUAUCUUAUACUUGAGUUGUAACAAAACCAAUUGUCACGUGUCAUAAUGUUCUACUGAUGCUGAAACUGAAGUUUUUGUUAUAUUAAUAGAGCUUGUCCUUCAACGCGUAUAACAAGUGUUUGUUAUUUUUUCCUUCAAAUUGUAUGAUCUCAUUCAUUAAAUAAAUUAAUGAAUUUCCCUUUAAAAAAUAUAAUUUUAAAAAUUAAAUACUUUAUAAGAUAUUUAAAACUAUUUAAAAAAUUGUAAGCGUUAAAACAAUCAACAAGAUAUAUUUUUCUUUAAAAAAUCAAUAAAAAUAUGUUUAAAAUUUUAUAUGAAAUUAAAAAUUUUUUAACAAUAAUAUAUUUUAAAAUUAUUUACACCUUUUUUUAUAUAUUUUUCCUAACAUAUCGUUAUUUUCAACACUAUCGUAAUCCUAUUUUGAUAAUUCCCUUUCCAUACAUCCUUUUUCUACAUAGAAUUUCAAAAGAAAAUGUGAAUUAAUGCAGACUUGAGAAGACCUAGAGGUAAGUCACCCAAUGAAACUGACCUAAACCGACUUAUGGACCAAUCAAACAAUAAUUUUGUAUCUCAUAAUAUAUUUAAUUACAUUAAUUAGCUUAUCAAUCAAAACUUAAUUAAAAUCCAUCAAUAAAGUUGCUGAUUGUAUGGCUAAGGCAUAUGGAGGCAUAAUUGAGCAGCUGGUUAUCUUGGAAGAUCCUUCGCGUUAUGUAAGAUAUUGGCUUGAAGGAGAUAUUAGACAGUCGUUGGUCACUGAUGAUAAAUUUCAUUUGGAUUGAAGCAGGCUUAAUUUUCUAAGUUUAUGUUCAACCAGAAAAAAAAUCUAAAUUGUAAUAGAAUUAACAUUUAGUGUAUAAAAAAUAUCUUAAAAAUUAUUUUUUCAAUUGCAAUUCAAUUCCACAAAUACUGACGAUGAACCCUGAAACGGACAUGAAAAUUACAAAAAGAAAAAAAGCACAUCUAUUAUCAAACCAGCAAUCCAUGCCUAAACUGAGAGAGAUGAACCCUAUGAUAGAUUGUGACACCCCAAAGUCGACCGGGAUAGAUCGGCCCGAAUUCGAAGCAUUACAUUAGCCACCUAAAUGACUCUCUAGCUAACGACCACCCAAGACACACCCCGACCUUAUAACACCUCAAUCUUAUCUAAUUAUUAGUUAUUUAUUAAUACCAAAGUAAAUUAUGAGCCAAUUUUAAACUUUUCCUAGGUAAUUUAACCUACGGGCAUUUACGUUAUUUUACCACCUAUGGUAAAACUAACCCGAUUUUAGAUCUAAGUGUUUACUGGCCUUCUUUUAGUCAAAUUAUGCAAGGUUAAAAUUUUUAGGUGAUUUUGAGUUCAUUUACUAUGUCUAAUUCAAGUUUUAUUAUUUAGGACUAAAUUGUAACUUAAACAAAUUUGAAUACCAAUUUAAAGAGACAAAAAUUUAAAACCCCCAAAACCACACGAGCAUGUAGGUAAAUGACACGGGAGUGUGGAAACUGGAGCAAUCACACACAGGCGUGUGGGAUUGAAAAAUAUGAAAUAAAUUAAUUAUGGUGUUAAAUUCUUCCAUCAAUUGUACAUAAUUUUGAUUGGUAUAGUAAUAAAUUUAGCCUUCAAUGUUUAAAUAUUUUGUCAUUUUGGCCUUAAUUUUAAAAAAAAAUUCAAGAAAUUCAACCUCAACAUUCACAUAUUUACACAAACGUUGCGGGAAAUUUUUGUUAAAUUAAGACCAAAUUGCAAGUAUAAAUUUUGAGGGCUAAAUUUAUUAUUAUACCAACAAAAACCAUGUACAUUUUAUGGAAAAUUAACAUCCUGAUUAAUUAUUCUUAGUAGCUCACUUUCAAAAUUAAUAGGGACUAAAUUGCUCUGAUUUUUUAAGGGUGACCAAUUUCUUCAAUUUGGAAAUUGAGAGAGACUAUUCAGAUAUUUUACAUAUUUUUUAUAAAUAUAUUUUUUUAAUAUAAAAUAUAGUUGUUCACACACAUCGUGAGUAUGAUAAAAUAUUUUUAUUGUUGAUUGAAUUGGUGUCAAAAAUUAACUCGAGACCAACUCAAGAUUAAGAAUAACAAUAUGAUAAAUAAUUUAUUUAUUUAAUAUUCUGAAUUUAAAAUAUUGAUGUAAAUUUUAAGACAUGCAUGUCUUGUAGAAUUGAGAUUAUACUUUUUGAGUAUUGAGUCAGUUUUCCACAAUUGUGGGUCUCUAUUUGAGCAACACAAUUUCAACAUUUCUUCAUCUCGCUUAAUCCAAAUGCAUUUAGGAUUUUUUUUUUUAUAUCAUUGUUUCAAAAACGAUAAAAAAAAAAGUGGACAUUGAAUUUUCUGUUUCACAUUCAAUUUUUGGAGAAGUAGAAUUUUCUAACUUAUUUUCCAUCAACUUCACUUCAAUUUUCAAUCACAAUCUAUUGCAUUCAAGAGCACCACAUCAUUUUGGAUGAAACAAACCUCUCAAUUUUAAGAUAAACGGAAUCUAUUGCAUUCAAGAGCACCACAUCUUUUUGGAUGAAACAAAGCUCUCAAUUUUAAGAUAAACGGGUCUUUAGGGUUAUUAAUUAAGGGCAUUUUCCACAAUUGGCAUCGUUAUUUGCGGGUGAUUCGGGGAUAAUAACAUCAACAUUUCUGUAUCACAUUUAAUUCAAUUCCACAUUUAAGUUUUAAUUUUUAGAGAGAUGAUUGGGUUACAACAAUGGUUUGAAGUGAAGAUAUUUCAAAAGAAGGCAAAUAUAUCAAUUUUUUAAGGGGUCUUUGGAGUUAUAUGUGACUUUAGCAUUAUUGACCGACUUUUUUAUAGUUAAUCUUUUAUAAUAAGUUAAUUAUAUCAAUUUUAAUAACAUCGACAUGUUUUUUAGUAGGGUCGAUCAAAACCCAAUUAAAACCUUUCAUCACUGCAAAAAUGAAAAUAAUAGAAAUGAAAGACUAGCCAUUGUAUGAGAUUUAUAAUUGUAACUGUCAACGAAAUUGGGAGAAAUUUUUAAAUUUUAUGAAAUUUUAAAAUUAAACUGUCAAUAAUAGAAAAUUGCCUGAGUGACUUGGGAUAAGAGCUUGAACAUUUCUGGAUCACAUUACAUUUAAGAUGGGUCUUUAAGGUUAUACUUUAGUUUUUGAGAACAUUUUCCACAAUUUGCCAUCGUUAUUUGUGGGGUAAGUGGUUGAACACUUCUGGAUCACAUUGCAUUUAGGACGGGUAUCAUUCAUAGACUGACUUUUCUAUAAUUAGUCCUUGCUUUACUUUAGGUGGAUUCUUCCAACUAGUCCAAGAAUUAUUGUACAGUUACAUUUAAUCUUUUUAAAUGAGACAAACAUUUCAAAUUUGUCGUUACUAUUUGUGAGUAAUUUGGGGGUAAGAAGUUUAACACUUCUGGAUGUCUUAUAGAAUUGUGAUUAUACUUUUUGAGUAUUGACUCAGUUGUCCACAAUUGUGGGUCUCUAUUUGAGCAAAACAAUUUCAACAUUUCUCCAUCUCGUUUAAUCCAAAUGCAUUUAUGCAUUUCUUAUAUCAUUGAAUUUGCUGUUUCACAUUCAAAAAUUGGACAAGUAGAAUUUUCUAACCUAUUUUCCGUUAACUUCACUUGAAUUUUCAAUCACAAUCAAUUGCAUUCAAGAGCACCACAUCUUUUUGGAUAAAACAAAACUUUCAAUUUUAAGGUAAACGGGUCUUUAGGGUUAUACGGGGGCCUUUUCCACAAUUGCCAUCAUUAUUUGCGGGUGAUUUUGGGAUAAUAACUCGAAUAUUUCUGGAUCACAUUUAAUUCAAUUUUUAAAUUUUAGAGAGAUGUUUGGGUUACAACAAUUUUCAUCAUUAAGUUUAAUAGAACAUUUGGGAGGAAAAAGAGCAAAAAAAUGAGCGAAAACCGAAAAAUGGGGGCAAAGUAUAGGACCCACACUAGCUGACCUAUUCCACUUGACUGUGCAUCAAUUUCGUAGAUUUGCACUUUGACCUACAAAAAAAUACGAAUUUUAGGCUUUUCGGGCAUUCUAAGAUGUACAUAUGACAAAAAUAAAAAGAUAUAAGAGAACCUUUUAGAAUAUUCAAGAAAACAACUCCAAAGACACCACUAAAGCCGACUCUGAAGCAAAUUUUCAUUAAGAUGGAAGAUUCCUAAUUGACCACUAAAGCCGACUCUAAAGCAGACUUUCAUUAAAAUGGAAGAUUCCUAAUUGAUUUCUUAGGAGAUUAUCAUGAGUUUCUUUAUUCCUUUCAAUUAUACUACCCUUUGGAUGUUUUUAUUUUUAAUCAUGAACUAAUUUUCUAAAUACCUAAGAGAGAUAAACCCUAUGAUAGAUUGUGACACCCCAAAGCUGACCUGGACAACCGACCCAAAUUCGAAACAUUACAUUAGCCAUCUAAGUGACUUUCUAGCUAACGACCAGCCAAGACACACCCUAACCUUAUUGUACAAGCCCAAUUUUGACCAAGACCAAACCAAAUAAAUUAACAGUCCAUAAGAGUCCAAAUUACAACUAGCCUGAUAUGGCCCAAAUAAAAAACAACAACCCAAGCCCAAACCCAACCCUCGUAGCCCAAAGCCCACAAACUAAAAAAUUUCAGCAGAAAAAAGAAAGUUGCUAACCCUACGCGCCAUGCCUGGGUCCUCUGCCACUGACCGCAUGCCUCUGCCACCGUAUCUCACAGCCUCUGCCACGCCUCUGCUGCCUACAAGAAACCAACAAAGCACAAAAUGACAACAGCAAUAGAGGUCAAAUCGAAAAACAACAAAAAAUAGAUUACGAAUCAUUUAGAUUGGCUAUAAAGGCCGAAAUAUUAACCUUGUAAUGCUUCUUCUUUUUUUUUGACGAACAUUAGAAAAAUAAAAAACAGAAAACAAGUUUAGAAGGUAGAUUUUUUUCAUUUUCAAAUUUGCAUUUCUUUUCCCUGUGUAUUUUCUUUUCUUCUAUUUUUUUUUACAUGCAACUAGUAAGAACAAAGAAAGAGAAAGAAAAACCUCGCCUGGAAUAGCCCCUCAAGUCCGGUCGUCGAAGGCCCUUUUCCUGUUGUCAAAAUCGAACCUAAAAAGGGGGCUAGGGUGCCCUCUCCUGGUCUUUUAGGGCAACAUCGGCCACCAGUCAGGUGGCACUACGGCGGCGCUCACGGCCAAAACCGUAGGCCGAGCGGGGUGGGGGUUUGAGAGAGGGAGCUCUCUGAAAUUUUUUUAAACAAAUGGGAUGAAACUGAUUUUCUUUGGGUUUUUUUUUAUUUCAUACUAAGUAUGAAACGGCGACGUUUUGGGCUUAAGCAGCCAUGGCCAAAACGACGCCAUUUUACGUCGUUUCCCCUAUACCCACGCGCGCGACCCGACCCACCAGGGGAUCCGCAUGUUUUUGCUCUGAGGGGAUAUUUGCGCAAUCUGCCCCUACGCCUUUUUGACGUAUUCAAUUCGGUUUUUUAUUAUUUUUUAUUUUAGCCAUGUAUUUUUGCUUCCGAUUCAAGUUGGUCCUUAGACCAUGUGUUGUUCCACAGUUAAAACGCCGCACUUUAGGAUUGGGGAAUAUUUCCCUGAAAGUCCCUCGCGCUUUGAGUGCGUUUCAUUUCGGUCCCGAGCCACCCCUUUUAUUUAUUUGCAAUUUAGACCGCGAGUUCUAAUCCGAUUUCAAUUUAAUCCUUAUUCCAUGUAAUUAUUUUAUUUUCUUUUUCUUUAAAAAUUAAUUUUUUUAUUUAUAAAAAGGACCUCUUUUAUUAUUAUUAUUUAUUUUAAGUUUUACAUAUAUUAUUUAUUUUAAAUGUUUUGCCUAAUAUUUACUUAAUUUUUUUAUUAUAUUAUUUUUUUAAACUACUAUAUAUAUUGCCUCUUAGAAUUUAUAUAUAUAUAUAUUAUUUUAAUAAAAAAUAAAGAAUACUGUUUUUAAUUAUUUUAAACUAUCUUAGUAUUUUUUUUUUCAUUUUAAAGUUUUAUAUUGUUUGUUUGAGACAUUUUGCCAUACAUUUCGAGUUCAUCUCAUAAGUUAUUUGUCUUAUACUAUUACCUACAUAAAAUUGUUCUUUAUUAUUUCAUUUCGUUUGCUUGGACUAUUAAUAUUGAUAUGUUAAAAUGUUGCACGUGGUGUGAUUAUUAUCAUUAUGUACGUUGUAAUUAGUUUAUUUUUUUCGCAUUAUUGCCAUUAUGUGUAUUAUUCCGUUUACUCGUAUUUCCAUGCUAUGGUAAUUCAUUCGUAUAUCAUGUUGUUCGAAAAUUAUUUCACCAUAUUAUAAAUUGUCACCCCAUCAACGCAACCCUUUUGUUCACGCAUUAUUUCAAACAUUACAUUUUUUACCCAAACAUGCAAAAAUGAAAUUUUCAAAUAAGGCAAUAUUUUGUGUAUUGGCGAUUCGAGAAAAUUGUAUCCUAACUUACGGGGUUUCAGUCUUUCUCAUUAAAACUAAUAGCAAAAUACCAUUUUUAAAAUAUCAAAAAAAUGAUGAAAGGAACCUAAAUAAGGCAAUAUUUUGCGUUUGGAAAUUCGAGAAAAUGUACCCUAACGUGCUAGGUUUCGAUUCUUUCGUUUAACCAAAUAGCCAAAUAUUCUCUUAAAAUUUCAAAGUAUGGGUUUUGGAACUGUCGAAACCACUUUUUUUGAAAAACAAAAAAAUUAGUUGUCGACUUUAACAACGAGAAUUGGAGUCAGAGUCGCCACUGAUCUUUUAAUGAGGUGUGAUCGGAUCACCUUGAAAACAAUUUUAGGUCUGCGAAUUUUGAGAAAAUUGAUUCGGGAGUCGGUUACACACGAGGAAGGGUUAGCACCCAUGUAACGCCCAAAAUUGGUACCGAAUUGAUUGUUUAAUGUCUUAGUGUCGAGAAUUUGAAAAGAUUUUAAAAUACAAUCCUUUGAAAAGAAAAUUUGAAUAAGAUGAAUUGGAUGAUGAGACUCACUUAUUUCAAAGAAAUAAAUUGUCACACUCAGUAAGUUAGAAUGCAACAUUUUAAAUCCUCAAAAUUAAGUUUAUCUUUUGACUUUUAAAACCUAUGCAUUUUGAGAAGGAUAUCCGAUUAUUUGGGUCAAAUGAAAAAAUCAAAACCCAAUAAGUUAGGGUUCGAUUUCACAAAAUUCCUAAAUAUCGAAUAUUGCCUUAAUUUUCAUAUAUUAGAAAAAUCCUCGCCUUGAGAAAACAACAUGUCAUAUCCAAUGCGUUAGGACACAACGCAUCGAAUUCCCGAGAAUGAGCUUUUUGUUUAUGUGUUUUAAUUAAAGAAUAAUCUCGAUUAUUUAGAUUCGAUGAGGAAAAUUGGAACCCAAUACGUUAGGGCUCAAUUCUUUCAAAAAUCUCAAAUUCCGAGUGUCGCGUUAUUUUAACAAAACUUUUUGAAUAAAAAUGCUCUCAAUAUUUGAAUGAUAUUAAACGUAAUAUUUUGACAAAUAAAAACCAUGAAAUAAUAACGUACAACGCGAAAUGGUGAUUCAUAAAUUAAUGUACGCUAAUGAACGACAAAGAAUCGAUAGAUACGAGCAAGCAAUACAAUACACGUAAGAGCAAUUAUCUCACAUCAUAUACAAAUAAUAACUUUAAUAUUCAAAAGCUAAUGAACUAAAAACUAAUCUUAAACGAAGCUCCAAGCGAAUUAAUACAAAAAUAUGCAACAAGAUUUGAAGAAUAAAAUAACAUGAAGGAAGGGAAAAUAUAUUUAAAAUAAAUCAUAUAUAUAUAUAUAGAAAUUUGAAGUAAAUUAAAAAUAAGGUUAAAAAUAAAUACUACAUAAAAUAAUAGUAUCCAAAUAAAUUUUAAAACAAAUAUCAUAUAAGAAGAAAAUCAAAUACAUAAAAUAAUAUACAUAUAUUAAUUUAAGAUAAGUAAUAUAUAGGGAGUGAAAAGCUUCAUGUAAGUAAUAAUAUAUGCUAAUAUGCAAAAAGUGAAAUAAACUAAAUAUAUGCGGAUAUUUAAAAGAAGUAAAGUAUCUAUAUAUAGCAAUAGGUAUAAAAAAUAUAUAUAGUUUAAAAUUAAAUAAUAUAUACAUUACGUACAUACAUAUAUGUAUAAUAAAAAUAGUUUAAAAAUAGUAACAAAUAAUAAUGAUAAGUAAUAUAUAUAAAUAGGUAAAUAGAAAUGUAAUCAAAUAUAAUAAUGAUAACAAUAAUAAAUAGUAAUAAAAAUAAUAAUAGUAAAUUAAUUAAUAGCAAAAAAUAUCAAUUAGGACUAAAUUGGAAUGAAAAUAGAAAUUUUGGGGCCAAUCCGCAAUAAAUAAAAACAAAAAGGGGCCGAAUUGGGUGCGCGAGGAACAAUGAGGGAGUAAAGCGGAAACUCCAAAACGCUGCAUUGCGGCAUGGACUAAAAUAAAACGAAAAUCAAAUUAAAGGGCGAAAAUUAAAAAGAAAAGAAUCGAUUCGAACAUGCCACAAAAGAGAGAGGACCAUUUGCGCAAAUCUCCCAACAGAGGCCAAAACGCGCGGAUCCUUCCCCGGGUCGGGUCACCGCACGGGUCAUGAGCUACCAAACGGUGUCAUUUUUGACGUAUGGAUAACGUAAAACGGUGUCGUAUUACACUAUUAUUUAAACAAGGUUUUAAAUAAAAAAACAAAAAAAGACAAAUGCUGCCUACGUUUUAAAAAAAAACUGCUUGUUCUUUGCUAGGGUUUUGCCCUAGCUUCUGCGCCGCUCGAACGUACUGCCGUUCAGAAACUUACAAUCCUCGUCCAAACUCCAAUCGCAAUGAAGCGAACAAGGGUGCGACGGCCACCCUAAAGGUAAAUCUUCACUUCUCUUUUCUCUUUUAUUAUUUUCGCAUAAAAACGAAGCGAAUAAGUAAAAUAAAAUAAAAUAAAUAUGAGAAUCACCUUAAAAAACAAUGAUAUUCGAUUUCUUUUUUCUCUUUUUUGUAUUUAGUAUUCGUAACCGUUUACAGAUUUGGUUGGCUCUUUUUAUAGAUGAAAUUAGUGAGAAAGAGAAAAAAAAUCGAAGAAUAUUUUUUUUACAUUUUUCCUUAUUUACUGCUAUCUUCUCUUAUUUGCUAUCGAUUUCUGCUCUUUUUGUUUGCUUGUCCUUCUUGCAGUUAUGGCAUACGGAGGGUGGACGUGGUGGCCACAAAGGCGCGCGUGAGGCGUGGCUCGACUGCUCGGCUGAAGUUGUAUCAGAAACCGCUAGGGUUUUCUGAUUCCUUCUUUGUUUUGGGCUCAUUGGACUAAAAGUUUUUAGGCUAGUGGGCUAGGUUAAAUUUAGGUUUUGGGUUAUACUUCAUUUAUUGAGGGCCUUUUUAACAAUUGCCAUCAUUAUUCGCGGGUGAUUUGGGGAUAAUAACUUGAACAUUUCAGGAUCACAUUCAAUUCAAUUUUUAAAUUUUAGAGAGAUGUUUGGGUUACAACAAUUGCCAUCAUUAUGUUUAAUAGAACACUUGGGAGGAAAAGGAACAAAAAAAUGAGCGAAAACCGAAAAAUGGGGGCAAACUAUAGGACCCACACGGGCUGACCUAUUCCACUUGACUUUGUGACCCUCACGGUCGCGUGGCAAACCACGUCAAUUUCAUAGAUUUGCACUUUGAACUGCGAAAAAAUACGAAUUUUAGGCUUUUCGAGCAUUCUAAGAUGCAUAUAUGACACAAAUAAGGAGAUAGGAGAGAACCUUCCUAGAAUAUUCAAGAAAACAACUCCAAAGACACCACUAAAGCCGACUCUGAAGCAAAUUUUCAUUAAGAUGGAAGAUUUCUAAUUGAUUUCUUAGGAGAUUAUCAUGAGUUUCUUUAUUCAUUUCAGUUAUACUGCCCUUUGAAUGUUUUUAUUUUUAAUCAUGAACUAAAUUUCUAAAUACCUAAGAGAGAUGAACCCUAUGAUAGAUUGUAACACCCCAAAGCCGACUGGCACAGACCGGCCCAAAUUCGAAACAUUACAUUAGCCACCUAAGUAACUUUCUAGCUAACGACCACCCAAGACACACCCUAACCUUGUAACACCUCAAUCUUAUCUAAUUAUUAGUUAUUUAUUAAUGGCAAAGUAAAUUAUAAGCCAAUUUUGAACUUUUUCUAGGUAAUUUAACCUAAGAGCAUUUAAGUCAUUUUACCACCUAUGGUAAAACUAACCCUGUAAUAGCCAAUUUUGGAUGGCCCGAUAAUAAAAAGUCCAAAAAUCAAAGUCCACAUAGUUGAAUUACAUAAAUUGACCCAAUACACAAACCAAAACUAAACAUCUAGCCCGAAUAGCCCAAUAACCAAAAAAAUAAUAAGCCCAAAACCCCAGGCCCAAUAAACUCUGACCUGAUUUGAAGAACACUCCAGAAACCCUAAGGGUUCCUGGAACCUUUCAGCCACCACAGCAACCAGGGCCCUUCCUCGCAUGUGUAGCGCCUCCGCGCACGUGCGCCUCCUCUAGCUGGCUCCUGCAACAGAACACACGAGCAGCAACAACAAGUAAAGCAAGGGAAAAAUAGAAUAACAGCAAAAAAGAAUAAAAUAAUAGAAAAAAAGAUGUAAAAUAAUUUCUGUAAUUUUUAUUAUUCGGCUAUAUAAAGUCAUUGGUGAUACUGUAAAAAAGGAUUACGGAUUCAAAAGAAAAGAAAAAAAAUCAAAUAGCAUUAUAUUUUUAAUGUUGUUUCUGAUUUCUACUUCUUUUUUCUUUUUCCUUUGAUUUGUUUAUAUUUGCUGAUUAAAAGAUAAAAAAAGGGGAAGUUCUUACUUACAUAUUGCCCUGCCGGAGCCUUCAUCCCUUCUGUUUCAAAUCGGAAUUGGGUGGGCAAUGGUCUAAUUGAAAACGGCACACAGAGGGUAGAUUUUAGGGAAAUAGUCAUUUUCACUUAAUUAACCAUGCAAACAUCAAAAUUUCUCAAUGAAAUUUUACUACGACCUUAAUAAAAUCCUGUAGACAGUAAAUAAAUAAUAAAAUAUUAAUUUACUUGUCAAAAUUGUGGUCUCAAAACCAUUGUUCUGAUAUAACUGAAAACGUGCUGUUACCACUCUCCCCCUAAAGGAAUUUUUGUCCCCGAAAAUCUAACUAGAAAAUAAGUUCUGGUAUUGUACUUUCAUAGCUUCUUCUGGUUCCCAGGUAGCCUCUUCUAUUUUGUGACGUUUCCAAAAAAAUUUAACUAAAUCUGUACUUUUAUUUCUCAAUUCUUUAACUUCCUAAGCUAAAAUUCUAAUUGGUUCUUCACUGUACGUCAUACCUAGCUGGUUAUCAACAUCUGCUGGUGAAAUCACGUGUGAAGGAUCUGAUUGAUAUCAUCGUAAUAUUGAUACAUGAAAUAAAUUAUGAAUAUUCUCUAACUUUGACAUCAAAGCCAAUUGAUAAGCUACUGGUCCAAUCCUCUUAAUGAUCUUAUAUGGACCGAUAAAUCGCAGACUAAGCUUUUCUUUUCGACAAAAAUGGAGAACUUUUCUCCAAGGCGGUACUUUUAGAAAUACUUAGUCCUCGACUUGAAACUCUAUAUCUUUUUUUGUUCAAAUCUGCAUAAGAUUUCUGACGAUCAGAAGUAGCUUCAAAUUGUCACGUAUCACUUAACCUUUACUUUGGUUUCUCAAAUCAAAUCAACACUGAAUAACUUUUUCUUGAUCAGCUCCAAUAUAACAGAGUUCGACAUUUCUGACUAUAUAAAGGUUCAUAUGGUGCCAUUUUAAUGCUCACCUAAUAACUGUUAUUGUAUGGAAAUUCAACCAAUAGUAGAAAUCUCUUCUAGUUACCUUCAAACUCUAAAAUACAACAUCGGAGCAUGUCUUCAAGUAUCUAAAUUACUGGCCAAGACUGGCCAUUAGUUUGUGGAUGAAAUGCUGUAUUGAAAUGCAGUCGAGUAUCCAGAGCUUCAUGUAACUUACCCUAGAAUCUAGAAGUAAAUUGUGGAUUUCUAUCAGAGAUAAUGGAUACCGGCACACCUUGUAAUUUGACAAUCUCAAAAACAUACAAUUCUACCAACUUCUGAAAUGAAAAAUCCAUACGCACUGGAAUGAAAUGUGUGAAUUUCAUCAAAUGAUCUACAAUAACCCAAACAACAUCUUUUUUUCUCAAAGAUAGAGGCAAUCCUGAUACAAAAUCCAUUGUAACAUGUUAGACUUUUGUUAGGUAACUAAUGGAAGAGUGAUAAAAAUAUUUAAAUUUGAAAAUUUGAGUUGCUAAAAAGAAAAGUUCAUAAUUAGGUGAUCAAAAUAGAAUGAAUUGAAUAGUUGUGAGACUAUUCUUGUACUUUACCCUUUAAUUACUUUUUUUUAUGGAUAUGUAUUAUUAAUUUUAAAUUUAUAAUAAUGCAUUGCUAAAUAAUUGCAAAAAAAAAUUAUAGACAUUAAUUUUUUGGAGAGGAUAGGCAUCUCUAAAUAAUGAUUAUUUAGAGUUGAAAAUUGUCCAUAAAUAUUUUUGGCAAUUUGUUUUUGAGGUGUAUGGUUGAUAAAGUAUGAUCGAUAGAUUAUGAAGUGAAGCUAAAUGUGUGUUUGACUGGGUGAAAUGUAACACCUUAAACUCAGCCUAGACGUUACGACCAGAUCAGGAAGUGUUACGUAAUUGUUUGAAAAUUCAGUUCUCAUAUAAUUUUGGAAUCCGUUUUGAAUUCUUAAAAUUUCAAAUUAUUUGAAAACAUUCUUUGUCUAGCUAUUUUGUUGAAAACACUAUUUGCUUAUAUUAUAAAACUCAUAAUUUUGCAGCGGAAAAUUCUUUAGCAUUUUUUUUAAAAUGCUAUCCUUAUUUCUUGAAAUUCAUUACUUUUGUAGGAAAUAAAAGUGAUUUUUAUUGAUAAAAUAUUUUAACGACAUUUUAUGUAAAUCGAAAAUAAAAACCUCAAAAACAAAUCAGAACAGUCAAAAAGUCCAAAAUUUACAAAACACCAAAAUUCCCAAAUUUUAAAUAAUUAAAAUAAAUGCAAUAUCUUUUAUAACCGAGCUACCCUCGCACCGACCCGCCUAAGUUUGAGGAUUACUUGAAAGUAUCAUUUAAACAGAAAGUGAGUUUAUGAAACUCAGUGUAAAACAAUUAACUUAAAACAGUUAAAGCAUAUCAAACAAAUUUAACAGUAUCAAAGUCUUAACAAAACAAUACAGAUACAUAUUUAUUUUUCCUACCCCCAUCUGCUACACACCAUCUCCGACCAUCCCAACACACCAUAUGGGGUAUAAAACACCCAUCUAACCCUACACAUCACUUAGUGUCGUUUAAGAAACUUACAGAAGAAUCGUAGUUGCACUACCAGAUAAAUAGGUGAAUUAUCACCUUUUCAAAUAUACUUCCUCCACAUAGUAAAACCCAUCAUAAUAACAGAUACAGUACAUAUCAAUAAUCAGUAAUAAGCAUAACACAUACAUAUAGCAUCGAUGCAUAACAUAUAUAUAGUACUUUUACCAGUUUUCCUAUAGCCCAUUACAUAAUUUACUCGUCAUAUGCAGCUUCAGAUACAGAACAAAUAUCAAAAUUCAUGCGAACAGAUGACUAACUUUUUAUAUUUUUUAGUCCAUUUAAGCACAUAUUGACCCCAUGGAAGACCCAUAGUCGAUCUAAGUGACGUGAACGGUCCUGAGGAAAGUUUUAGAAUGUUGGGCCCAUACGCCCUGUGUAGCCUACAUGGCCCAAAUUGCUCAAACCGUGUGUCACACACGGUCCAACACAUGGCCUGUCACACAACCAUGUGUUGCACAUGGCCUACCAUAGGACCUAACACAUGACCGUGUGGCUCUGUUCGCUGAUUUUCAAGUUUCUCGUUACACUUCUGAUUCUAUUUUAACACGAAAGCAGCCACAAGAUAACCAUUACCUAAUACGAAAACCAAAUCACCAAAUGAGACAAUUUUUCUCAAACCCGAUUUACAAAAUCAAUUUUACCAAUAACAAAGUUAAUGAUGAAAUUCAGUCCAAAUCUCCAACCUUGAUUCUUACCCUCAAGAAAAAGUAGUCCAAAUAACGAUUCUAAGUCGUCGAGUAACUAAUCGCCUUGUGAACUACACCUAAAACCAAAACAAUUGAUUAACAUCGAUAAAUCACACCAACCAGAACUCAACAUAAUCGAAGCUAACGAAGGCAAGAUUCCAUAACAGAAGAGAAGUAGGCAAUACUUAUGCACGAAUCAAAUUACACUUAACAUAGCAGAGUAUCCACCACCGAUUUGGAAAGGCAUAAAGAACAACAUUCAAGAAUGAACAAAAGAUUGAGAAAAGAACAAGAGCAGGAAAAAGAAACGAAAAUUGAGGGCCUUCUCUACUAAAAUCCACGUGAAAGAAAAGAAAGUAAUAAAGAAAAAAAAAUAGAACCAGAAAGCAAAAAAAUCGAGAACAUGUAAACAAAUGGGAGCAAAAAUUGGGGAUUGAAAUUAUUUUAAUCAAUUAAUUCCCUGCCAUUUAAAAAAACAAUAAAAUAAAAUAAAUAUCUUAAUAACCACCCACUAAACUUAGAUAAGUACCCAGAUUCUUUUCAAGAAUUUGAAUUUAAUCUAAACUUAUCCACUUGAAUAACACAAAGCAUAAAAUAUUUCGCUUGCUUGCAUGGAAGCUUGAAUACAUGACCAAUGAGUACUCAAGAAUUUAACCACUAAACCAGUAAAUUUAUUCUUGUCAUAGAUUUAAUGAUAAUAAUAUUUAAGCUGGAUAAACAGAGAUAGACUUAGAAACAAAAAUAAUUGAAAUUUUCUAAAGAAGUGCAACUUAAACCCAAGACCUCAAACUCACAAGACACUUCACCACUAAAACAAACACUUUCUAAUGACAAAUUUUAUCAAAUUAUGUAUACGAAAUUUGGGGUGUUACACGGAAAGUGGAGGGAUGGGAGGAAGGAGUGAACAAGUGGAAAAAAAAUAAAUUUUGAGUAUGCUUAAUUGAAAAGAAAGUGAGAGGAAAGAAGAUAAGAGAAAUGAUCAUUUUCCAUUCCAAUGAAUAAAAAUGAAUCAUUCCAAAUUGGAAAGAUGAGAUGAAAGAAAAUGAGAAAUAUGUGUAUGAUAGUUUAAAAGAAUGUAUUUUUGAAAUGAUUUAUUUUCUUUCAUUUCAUUUUUUCAACUCUACCAAACAAUGAAUGGAACUGGAGUAAAAAUUAAAAGUAGAAAACUAGAAGAAUGAAAAAAUAAUUUUUAUUUUUAUUUUUCUAUUUUUCCUACCAAACACAUCUAUGAAAUUUUCCACCCGUUAAAUCUUCCAUUCUUUCAAUUUUUGUUACAGUCUAGAAAGCAAAACUUUAAUGUUGAAAAUUUAAUUCCAUAGCAGAUAGAUUACGAAGUGAAACUAAACGCUAAAAUGAUUAUAUUAUGAAUAUGAAAUCUCCAUUAAUUCUGAAACUGUAUUACCAAUGGAGAAGUAUUGAUUUCUAAUUGUAAAAAUGUGAAGAGAACAGGUUUACUUUUACAAGUAAGAAUUUUUUGAGCAUCCUUCAUAUUUUUACAAUUAAAAGCCAACUCCAUAGUCAAUUUGCUUUGAGAAUGAACUGUGUAUCUUCAAGACUUCCAGCUUCAGUACAGAUUAAGUUGAGCAUUGGAUGAACUUGCCAAGGCUUCUCAGACCAUUGCACUUCUUCCACUAUAUUCAGCAUUUCUUGAAAAUAUUCAUGCAACACUAUUGGUAACAUGGAUUUCUGACAUUAGAAAAGUAGCAAAAUUUGUGGAACUUUGAUAGCCCCAUUGACAAUAAGGAAUGAUGGGUUCCAUUCUUCUUAUUAAUCUCCCUUUUUUCCCCUUGAUUAAGCACUGGUUAUUUGAAAGCAAAACACAUAGUUGGAUUAGAUUGUAAAAUUAGCACCUAAAAACAUAAUUUUCAUUUUAGCACAGGGUGAUUUAGAUGAAACAACUCUAAUUUUUAAAACAAAUGCUGAACACACAUUAACUGAAAGGAACAAACCUGAAGAGGCAAGGAAGCUCAACCAAGACCACUGUGAUCUAUUUGUCUCAACAUUAAACAAUUAAAGAAGAUUAGAUAGAAACUUAGAGAACACUUCCAAAGAUAUAAGCUUUCUUCAAUUCAUCAAACGAUUACAUAAAUUUCUUAAAUUGCAAUCAAACAUAACAAACCUUAUACUUGACUAAAAGUAAACCAGCUUCCCCAUCAUUUAGGCUUCUCUACCAAGCAAUGUUUCAAAUGUUAUAAGGCUCAGCAUGGAACUCAUGGAUAGGUUUUAGGAGGCCUCUCUGAUACAGAAACAAUAUGAAGUGCAUUAACAGAUCAACAACUCCUAUUGGUAGGAAAUUCAAACAUCCUUAGUUUAAGAAAAUUACAUUUUAAUAGAUCAAAUUCAGUAUAGAAUAUCUUUACCUUGUUCUUAGCUUGGCGCCUUUGACUUGUCAGCCAUCUUACAAUACGAUUCAAUUGCUUUAACUCACCCUCUGGGGUUCGAUACCUCAAAAACUUUUAACGCCAAUGACAAGAUAACAAAUAAUUUAACAAGUAAAUGAAAUUGAAAUGCAUACCUUAAAACUCCUUUUUGGUACAAAAGUAAAAACACAUUUUACAGAAAAGAAAGCAAGGAAAAAUCCAAAUAUAGAAGUACAACAAUGUUGAAAUCCCAAGAAAAGAUAAAAGAACAUAAAAAUUAACAAACACAAGCAACUAAGUAGACAAAUAAUCAGUCUAACACAUAGAAAUAACUUAAUCCCUCAAUGCUAUCAUAGAGUGAAAUUGUUGGAAGGGUCUGCUUCUGCUGUUAGUUCUGCUGUUGAGAGACUUGCAAAGAGAUAUCCUAGUACACAAGGGCAAAUGAGUGAGCAAAGAGUUUACGUAUUAUAUAUAGAACAUGAUUCAUCGAGGAUGAAUCUUAUAUAUAUAUAUGGUUAAAAUACAAAAAUGAAAUUAAAUAUGGAGUUAAACACAUACCAAAAGUAAGUUAAUAACCACAAGCAUACUCAUCGUUCGAUGAUGUUUAGAAACCUUUGUUUGAUCUUCUUUAGCUCAAACACAACAUCCUUCAUAUCUUUUCUUUCUUCUGGCAACUCAGCUGAACAAUCCAAAGCUAACUCCAUGAUAGAAGAAAUACAAUUUGUGUUGGUGCAAGAGGCAGCAGCAAGCUGAUUUCAGCUUUGCUUAAACAGCAAGUCUCGAGGCUUGCAGCAGAAACAAUCAAGGAAGAAAAACUUACAAUGGAAAACAGAAAAGAAAGAGAGAGAUUUGAAUGAAAAUGAGCUAAAUUUUCAUUAACAUUUUUAAGAAGGCAUGAUGCCAAUACAUAUAAGGGAUUACAAUAGCAAAACAAACAAGUUACCACCUAAUAACUUACCUAACACCACAAAUUUGCCUAGUAACUUGGUAAACUUGUUUGAAUACAUAAACAGCUACCUAAACUUGUCAUUCAUGACUUAAUUACAUCAAAAUGCAGCUACCAACUAAGUUUGAUCCUAACUAAAUACAAAACAUUCAUUUAAAGAAACUAAAUGAAUAGCUUCAGCUUGCUGCACCAAUUUGCUGUUGAAGCACGUUCCCUGCAUGGCCACCUUUGCUGCUGCAUGGGAGCUGACUUCAACACUCCUCCUCAGCUUUUAUGCAGCAGACUCCUAGUUCCCUCUUUAGGCUUAGAAAUCUUGAUACACCAAGAGACUUUGUGAAGAUAUCAGCAAUCUGAUUUUCAGAGCUGCAAUGAAUCAGCUCAAUUUCUCGAGCUUGUUCCAUCUCCCUUAUCACAUGUAGUUUAAUAUCGAAGUGUUUUGUCCUACCAUGGAAGACAGGAUUUUUGGCAAUAGCAACUGCUGACUUGUUGUCACAAUGUAUCACAGUUGCUUCAUUCUGCUGUAGGUUUAAAUCACUCAAAAUUUUUCUCAGCCACACAGCUUGAUUAACAGCAUUAGCAGCUGCUACAUACUCAGCUUCAGCUGUUGACUGAGCCACCAUUGUUUGUUUUCUUGAGCUCCAACAAAUCAUUGCAGAGCCAAGUGUAAAAGCAUAACCAGAGGUGCUCUUCAUGUCAUCUUUUGAACCAGCCCAAUCGCUAUCUGUAUAGCCAAUCAAUUUCAACUCCUUGACCCUUUUGAAACAUAUACCAUGGUUCAAGGUACCUUUGAUAUACCUCAGAACCCUUUUUCCUGCUUUGUAAUGCUGCUGAUUACAGCAAUGCAUGAAUCGUGACAGCAUGCUCACAGCAAAUAGAAUAUCAGGUCUUGUUGCUGUCAAAUACAACAAACAGCCAAUAAGGCUUCUAUAAUCUGUUUCACAGACAGAUUCAUGUUCCUCUUGGCUCGAUAGCUUCAUGCCAAUAGCCAUUGGUGUGCUCAUUGGUUUACAAUUCUCCAUUGAGAAUUUAGCCAGCACUUUCAAGGCAAAUGUCUUUUGUUUCAAGAGGAUUCCUCCUUCUACUUGAUUGACUUCUAAGACAAGGGCUCUAGAUACCAAUAAUUUGCUUUAAUAACAAAAUUAUCAUCCUCUCUUCUUAAUAAAUCAGCAUCCACAAUGUCUAUCAUUCCUUCAGAUAAUAAUCUUUUCACCCAAUGCCUUAUGGUCAUUUCAUCACCAAAAAUUUCAUCUGUUGGCCUUUUCCUAGUGAAAGUUUCUAUGAGGACAAUUCCAUAACUAUAGAUGUCACAUUUUAUAGAAACAAUUCCCGUUGAUCCAAAUUCUGCAUUUUAAGCAUAAGUAAUCCUGGAUUAUUUCUAAUAUGUUUACCACUAUAUAUAGACAUACACAAAAAAUAAUCAUUAAUUAAAAAAACUCAAAAAUUCACCUGGUGCCAUAUAACCAAUAGUUGCAAGAGUCAUGGUUUGCUUCACUACAUCACCUUCUCCCAACAAUUUCGCAAUGCCAAAAUCUCCCACAUGAGCAACCAUGUCUUCAUCUAGUAGAAUAUUGCUUGGUUUUAGGUCACAAUGAAUUACAGGUGUUGGAUGUCCAGUGUGGAGAUAUUUUAGAGCAGCCGCAACAUCUACCAUUGUGUUGAUCCUUUGUAUGAUAUCAAGGAAACAACUGUUUGAAUGUAACCAUUUCUCAAGAUUUCCAUUAGACAUGAAAUCAAGCACCAAGGCUUUGAAGUCAACAUUGGAGCAGCAAGUAAUGACCUUGACAAGAUUACGAUGAACUAUGUUACGCAUAGCUUCACAUUCAAUGUCAAAGCUCCUAAAUGCUCCUUCUAUUUGCAAAUUGAAAACUUUUAUUGCAACUUCCAUUCCAUCCGAAAGCCUCCCUUUAUAUACAUAUCCAAAACUUCCUGAACCAAGCAUAUUGUGCUCCUCAAAUCCACUAGUUGCCCGUGAAAGUUCGGCAUGUGAAAUUCUUCUCCAUGUUCCCAAACAUAGUGAAUCAUCCGUAAUUGGUAGAGUUGUACUCCUAAUUCGGAAUCUUCUAUAUAUAAUAACUAAGACUAGUAGUAACAUGACAAUACAAAUUAUUGGUAAACCGUACCUUAAAUCAUGCAAUACACCCAUCUUGGAAUUUUUGCGGAUGUCAUUUUUGCAAGGUGGGACUAGCAAUCUUGGUGGACCACAAAGUGCAUAAUUCUUCAUGAAUGAUGUGCUUGGAAAGUUUGGAAAACAUCCUUUGCUAGGAAUUUCCCCUUCAAGUCUAUUGAAGGACACAUUAAAAUACUUUAGAUAUAAAAGCUUUUCCAAAGAUUUGGGAAUAACUCCAGAGAGAUUGUUAUUGCACAAAUUCAAAAAUGUCAAACUAAUCAAACCACCAAAUGAUUCGGGGAUAUGACCAUGUAUAUUAUUUGAUAAAUCUAAGAAAACCAAAGUUUCAAGACCCCCAAAUGUGGACAAGAUAUCUCCUGUGAAAAGAUUCCUUGAUAAAUUUAGUUUCAGCAGACUCCUCAAAUAUCCAACAUCAAGAGCAUGUGAACCGUUAAGGUAAUUUGAUGAUAAAUCUACUUCUAAGAUAUCUUUAAGUUUCCACAAAGUUGAGGGUAUUGCCGAACUCAAUUUGUUGGAAUUUAAAUAAAGAUAUCUCAAAGAAGUAAUAUUACCCAAACAAGAGGGUAUGGAUCCAUCCAGCUUAUUCAACCCUAAAAACAUCUCGUAUAGUCUCUCCAAACCACAGAGGCUUUUUAAGAUAGGUCCUCCUAAUUUAUUAGAGUAAAGAUCUAGACCUUGGAGAUUUUUCAUUCCUCCAAUUGAUGUCGGAAUAAAACCACUUAAUUUAUUAUGGCCAAGUUGUAAAAGUAAUAGGUUGCUUAAGUUACCUAUUUCUAUUGGAAUAUUGCCUUUAAGCUCACAAUCAGUAGCGUAAAAGUAUAUAAGGGAUGCUGAAAGGUUCCCAAUAUUAGUAGGAAGAGUGCUAUUCAAAGCAUUUUCUAAAAUAUCUACUCUUGUCAAAUUCUUGCAAUUUGUCAAAGAAGAAAGAAAGGCCCACUCAUGAUUUAUAGUAGAUCCCAUGGUCAAAUAGUUGUUUGUUAUUCGGAACCAUUCAAGGUGUCGUAAGUUACCAAACGUUUCAGGAAUUGGGCCAGAGAAGAAGUUAUCUCCCAAGUCUAGAACCUUAAGCAUGGAAGCAUUCAAGAUAGAGUUGGGAAUGUUUCCGAGAAGUUUAUUUCGACGCAACGAAAGAAAAUUCAGCUUUGGAGCCUCGAUCAUGGGUGGCAAGGUACCUGUAAAAGUUUCAUCUUUUAGUGUAUAUAUAUAUUCUCAUUCAAUACCAAAUUCUCGAUAUAUAUAUUACACAAAUACAUUUUUAAAAGGAAAAAUGUAAAACUUCAAAUCAAAUAAAAAUAAAAUUUUCACAUGGAAAAAUGCAAUUAAAUCAAUCUUAAAAAUGACACAUAAUAAGAAGUUCUGAAUAGUAAUUAGUCACUUAUGAUUUGUAUUAAAUAAUAAAAAUAAAUAAAACCAUUUUUAAUAAAGGGUGCAUAAAAAAUUAAAAUAAAAUUUUGAUUAAUUGAUAAAUUUAAGGUUUUAUUAUUGAUGUGAGUUCAAAUCUCACCAUAAUUUUUUUUUACUUUUUUUAAAUAAAAAGUAUUAAAUACCUUUAAAUAAUAAAAUUUAUUUUAAAUACAAAAGGAUAUUAUUAUAAUUGCUCUAAUCGAGUUUGUGCUUGGUUAACUCAUGACACUUAACCAAGCACCAACUUAAUUAGAAACUUAAAUUACAACAUAGAUAUUCACAUGCACCAAAAAAAGUAAAAAAAAAAAUUAGUUUCUAAUAACAAAUUUUAAUGAUUUAUAUAACAAGUAACUUUCUAAUUCACAUAAUUUUUUUAUAAAUAAUAUAUUUAUAUAAUCUAAUCUAUUAUAUUUAUAUUAAUUAUAUAUCAUCAAUGAAUCAUCAGUAAAUUUUUAUGAUCAAUUUACUGAUUAUUAAGUAAGAGUAAAAAAUUAAAUUAAAUAAUGAAAAACUAUUUUUUACAUUUGGUACAUAUGCUUUAUGAUGAUAAUUAAAAAAAAGUAUUAACACUAUUUCUGAAUUAACAAAAAUAAUUAAUAUAUUUUAAUUAUAUUUAUUAUUUAUUAUUUUGAAUAAUAUUGCUUUUUUUAAUUACAUGAAAUAAAAACAUAUUAUAUAUUAAAUAUGAUACAUAUGCUUUAAUUAUGGCUUAAAUUUUAUUAAUAUAUUUGAACUAUUAAAUAAACUAAAAUAUUUUAAUUAUGUUUAGCCGUGUGAAUAAAAAACUAAUUAAAAAAUUAUUUAAAAAAUUAAAUGUGUAAAAUCAAGUGGAAUAUCAUAAUCUAUGUAUAUGAAUGUAUAAUGUGAGAAAUGAUUAUAUGAAAUUGAGAUAUCAUGCCAUUUGUGUUUCUAGUAAUUUAAUGUCAUUUCAUUAUUUUCAUCUUAAAUUUCAGCAUAUCAUGUUGGAUUUGAUUUUUUUUUUCAAGAGAAAAAUGUUGAAAUGACAUUAAAUCAUUAAAUUAUUAAAAAUGAAUACAAAUGACAUGGUAUCCCAGUUUCAUACAAUCCCUUUUCAUGUAUAUGUAAUAUGUGGUUGUUUCAAUUUUUAAAAUAAAAUAUAUUUUCCACAUUGGUUUCUUUUCUUCCAAAGAUUAAGUAUUUCUAAUAUUUUUAUAUUUGUUGCUUAUAUAAAAUAGAUUAGUUUAUGCAAUAAAAAUUUAAUUACUUUUUUUAAGCUUAAUGGAAAUUAAAAGUUUUAAAAUAAAUCAAUUCAAAUAAAUUUUAUUGUUUAUUAUCAAAUUAAUAAAUUUUAAUGAAGUAUAUGAUCAAAAAAGGAGAACAAAUGAAAGUGAAAAACAUACCUUCCAAAUUGUUGUCAUAUAGAUAUAUUCCUUCGAGCAUAGUUUAAUUAAGGGUCAGUUCUUCAUUACUUUUGAAAAGUGUUUUUGAAAAGUUUAGUUUCAAAUUUGAGUGUUUAGCAUUGCUGUCAAAAAGUAGUUUUCGGAAAUAAAAUGUCCAUUUUAGACAUGUUAUUAUCAAGUAACAAAUAUGCAUUUAAAUAAUAUUUAAAUUAGUUAAUAUUAUUAUAUUUUAGUAAGAAUAUAAAAAAAUAUUAUAACUUGUUGUUAAUAUUUUAAUAUAUGAAAUAUAAAUUUUAAAUAUUUUUAAGAAAUAAAUAUUAAUUAUUUAUAAAAUUUAAUUAGAAUAUAUAAACUAUAUUUUAAAUAUUUAAAUACAACCAUUAAAUAUUUGUAAUUAGUAUUUUAAAAAAUAUUUUUUAUUUUUAAUUAAUGAUUUUAACACAUUUGUAAUUAAGCACCAAGAAAAAAAAGGAAAAUACUAUGUUAUUGGAGGGUUGAAAAAGUAAUUAAGCACCAAAAGUGCUUUUGAGGAAGGAAAAGCUAAAAUUUUUAGCUUCUCCUUCUCAACUCCUUUUGAGAAGUGCUUUUCAAAAGUACUUAUGAAAAGCUAAAAAUGAGACUAACACUGAAUAAUAAUUAGUUAUGAUUUGGGAAACAAAAAUGUUAAAGCCAUUAUUUAUCUUUAUUAAAUUAUAGUGUAAAAUUUAAAGAUUAUUAUCUUCUCAAUUUUUUUUUUAUUUUUCGUAUAUUUGAAAUUUAAUCUUUAUAUUUUUUAUUUUCUAUGAUUUAGUCUCUCUACUUUUUGAAUUGAAAAUUUUAGGUUCAUUUAUUAAUACAGUAAAAAAAGUUUUUGUGUUAGUAUGGCAUUUUGAAAAAUAAAAUAAACUUGAUAUCUAUGUUUUUAAUUAUUCCAAAUAUUGUUUUAUUAUUUCAAGAUAAAUUAUUUGUGUCUAGACCAAUUUCUUAAGAACUAUUGUUGCAUGUUUAAUUAUUCAAAAGAAUUGUUGAUUGAGUCUUAGCUUGAUUGGCAUGUGCAUUGUUACCAAUGUAGGAGAAUGUGGGUUCAAGUAUGUUGAAGUGUAUUAUUCUCUUGUUUAUAAAUUGGGGAGUUGGUUAAGUAUUAAAUUUUGAUAUAUUUUAAAAUAUUAAAAAUUUUUUAAAAUAUUUUUUAAAAAAAUUGAUUGUACCACAAUAUACAAUUUUAAUAUAAAUUUUUUAAUUUUUAAAAAAAAAUAUUAGCGACUAUAUACCUUAUUUCAAGUUACACAGUUUUUACUAGUUUUUAACUUUUUUUAAAAAAAAUUUAUCGUCUUUUAUAAUUUCUAAUAAUUUUUUAUAUUUUUGCAAUAUUUAAAAAUUUCUACCAAUUUUUAAUAAUUUUAUUAUUUUUUUAUUUUUACACAAUUAUAUAUUUAUAAUGUAGUUAUUUUUUUAUAUAACUUUACUUGAAAUUUUAAAGAUUUUUUUGGUUUUUUUCUAGAUGAUGAUGCCAUCAUGAUGUCAUCAUAUACCACAUGGCAAUUUAUGAUUAGUUGGAUAUCUCAAUCUAAUUUUUAAUGUCGAAUGGACUAAACUAAGAACACCUGAUAAUGUUAGAGACUAUACUAGCAAUGUUUGAUAAUAUUAGGUACUAAAGUGAGCAAAUAAAUAUUAAGGACCAAAGUAAAAAAAAAAAAAAGCAAUAUGUUGUAGGGAAUAAACUGUGCAUUAAGCCAUUAAAAAUAUAUCUAUAAUAUAUUUAAAUGCAUGGAUUUUGAGAAGCUUUUGAACUGAUAAUUAUAUAGUCUUUGUUGUUUACUAUAUUAUUGAAUUUGUUAUUUUAAAUAUUUUUUUUACUUUUAAGAUUUAUCUAAGAAUUUUGGUUUUACUAAAAUAUUUGGUUAAGUAAAUUCACUUCAUAAGAAAAUUUAGCAUCCUUAUAAAUAACAAUUUUGAUUCUAUUAAAAAUAUUAUUUUAAAAAAUAUAUAACAAUAAAUUAAAAUUUAUAUUGAAUUACUUUAUACUUCAAUUAUUAUUAGAAACUUUAUCAUACACAUACGUGUAUGAGAAUCACGUAUUUAGAACAUAAAUUUAUGUUUUAAAAUAACUUAUGAUAAAUAAUGAAAUGUAUAAUUUGAAACUAUUUAAUAAUAACACAUGGCAUAUCUACCAUAUUAAAAUAAAAAUAGAUUAAAUUGUAAGUAAAACAUAAUUUAAACAUAUGAAUACAUCUAAUUAAGAAUACUAAAUGAAUACAGUUAUUUAUGAUGAUGUUGUUGUCGAUUCCUAAGUUGGUGUCGAGUUAAUUUGUAACAUCAUCAAUUUCAGUGAUAAAUUUAAGGUUUUAUGUAUUGAUGUGGAUUCAAAUAUCACCAAUUUUUUAAAUAAAAUUUAAAAUAAAUAUAUUUUCCACAUUGGUUUCUUUUCUUCUACCGACAAAGGAUUUCUAAUGAUUUUAAAAAAAAUUUUUCUUAUAUAAAAUAGAUUAGUUUAUGUAAUAAAAAAUAAUUUCUUUUUUAAAGUUUAAUGGAAAUUAAAAAAAAUCAAUUCAUAUAAAUCUUAUUGUUUAUUAUCAAAUUCAACACAAUGUUUUUGGAGUUUGGAAAAAAUUAAAGUGAAAAACAUACCUUUUAAUUUGUUGUUAAAUUAAAAAAUUAAAAAUAAAUCAAUUCAUAUAAAUUUUAUUGUUUAUUAUUAGAUUAAAAUGAUAAAAGUAUAUGACAUAAAUAGAAGAAACAAAUUCAACACAAUGUUUAUGGAGUUUGGAAAAUAUUAAAGUGAAAACCAUACCUUCUAAUUUGUUGUCAAAUAGAACUAUUACUUCGAGCGUAGUUGAAUUAAAAAUACUUGAUGGAAUCUUACCUGCACACAUAGUCGAAAAAUCAAGGUGUCAAACUGCCUAUUUUGUUAGCAUAAGUUAAAGAGGUGUUCUUUUCUGUUCUACAGUAAUUUGGAGAUGUUACAUUUUAAUAUAUUUCAGCAUAUGUUUUUCAUCAAAUGAAAUAAAAACUUUUUCCUUCUGUAAUCUAUUACAAAUCGAACUAUUUUAUUAAAAAAAUACUUUGAAUUCAAGAUAUCAAAGAAAUUGAUUACCUUCUAGAUUAUUAAAUCCCAAAUAUAAUUCUCUGAGUUGUGUCAGAUUUCCAAUACUUCUUGGAAUGAUCCCCGUCAAUUGAUUCAAGGACAAGGACAAAAUUUUAAGGUUGCUGCACUUGCCCAUACUUGACGGAAUGUUACCAGAUAACUCAUUUCUAUCUAAGUAAAGCCCUUCAAGCUUGGGAAGAUGUUGACACAUAUCAUUAUGAAAACUACCUGAUAGGCUAUUGUUGGAGAGAACAAUGGUCUUCAGAGAAGAAAUGUUGAAGAUCGAAGUUGGAAUCUGACUUGUAAGGCCUUUAAUUGCUUGAAUAUUAAGCAAUUCCAAACCAUGAAGAUUACCGAUUUCCUCAGGAAUUUGACCUGCACACAUAGUCGAAAAAUCAAGGUGUCAAACUACUUAUUUUGUUAGCAUAAGUCAAAGAGGUUUUCUUUUCUGUUCUACAAUAAUUUGGAGAUGUUACAUUUUAAUAUAUUUCAGAAUAUGUUUUUCAUCAAAUGAAAUAAAAACUUUUUCCUUCUGUAAUCUAUUACAAAUCAAACUAUUUUAUUAAAAAAAUACUUUGAAUUCAAGAUAUCAAAGAAAUUGAUUACCUUCUAGAUUAUUAAAUCCCAAAUAUAAUUCUCUGAGUUGUGUUAGAUUUCCAAUACUUCUUGGAAUGAUCCCCGUCAAUUGAUUCAAGGACAAGGACAAAAUUUUAAGGUUGCUGCACUUGCCCAUACUUGACGGAAUGUUACCAGAUAACUCAUUUCUAUCCAAGUAAAGCCCUUCAAGCUUGGGAAGAUGUUGACACAUAUCAUUAUGAAAACUACCUGAUAGGCUAUUGUUGGAGAGAACAAUGGUCUUCAGAGAAGAAAUGUUGAAGAUCGAAGUUGGAAUCUGACUUGUAAGGCCUUUAAUUGCUUGAAUAUUAAGCAAUUCCAAACCAUGAAGAUUACCGAUUUCCUCAGGAAUUUGACCUGCACACAUAGUCGAAAAAUCAAGGUGUCAAACUACUUAUUUUGUUAGCAUAAGUCAAAGAGGUUUUCUUUUCUGUUCUACAAUAAUUUGGAGAUGUUACAUUUUAAUAUAUUUCAGAAUAUGUUUUUCAUCAAAUGAAAUAAAAACUUUUUCCUUCUGUAAUCUAUUACAAAUCAAACUAUUUUAUUAAAAAAAUACUUUGAAUUCAAGAUAUCAAAGAAAUUGAUUACCUUCUAGAUUAUUAAAUCCCAAAUAUAAUUCUCUGAGUUGUGUUAGAUUUCCAAUACUUCUUGGAAUGAUCCCCGUCAAUUGAUUCAAGGACAAGGACAAAAUUUUAAGGUUGCUGCACUUGCCCAUACUUGACGGAAUGUUACCAGAUAACUCAUUUCUAUCCAAGUAAAGCCCUUCAAGCUUGGGAAGAUGUUGACACAUAUCAUUAUGAAAACUACCUGAUAGGCUAUUGUUGGAGAGAACAAUGGUCUUCAGAGAAGAAAUGUUGAAGAUCGAAGUUGGAAUCUGACUUGUAAGGCCUUUAAUUGCUUGAAUAUUAAGCAAUUCCAAACCAUGAAGAUUACCGAUUUCCUCAGGAAUUUGACCUGCACACAUAGUCGAAAAAUCAAGGUGUCAAACUACUUAUUUUGUUAGCAUAAGUCAAAGAGGUUUUCUUUUCUGUUCUACAAUAAUUUGGAGAUGUUACAUUUUAAUAUAUUUCAAAAUAUGUUUUUCAUCAAAUGAAAUAAAAACUUUUUCCUUCUGUAAUCUAUUACAAAUCAAACUAUUUUAUUAAAAAAAUACUUUGAAUUCAAGAUAUCAAAGAAAUUGAUUACCUUCUAGAUUAUUAAAUCCCAAAUAUAAUUCUCUGAGUUGUGUCAGAUUUCCAAUACUUCUUGGAAUGAUCCCCGUCAAUUGAUUCAAGGACAAGGACAAAAUUUUAAGGUUGCUGCACUUGCCCAUACUUGACGGAAUGUUACUAGAUAAUUCAUUUCUAUCCAAGUAAAGCCCUUCAAGCUUGGGAAGAUGUUGACACAUAUCAUUAUGAAAACUACCUAAUAGGCUAUUGCUGGAGAGAACAAUGGUCUUCAGAGAAGAUAUCUUGAAGAUGGAAGAUGGAACCUGACCAGAUAAUUGAUUGAGUCCCAAGUUCAAGAUCUCUAGAUUAGAUAUGUUAACAAGUGUUUCAAGGAUUGUGCCUGUAAAGUAAUUAUUUUUCAUUUGCAGCCUUUGAACUCUCUGUAAGUUCCCAAGCCAUGAUGGAAUUUCCCCAUUCAGACGGUUGUAGCUUAAUUGAAGGAUCCUCAAACGAUGCAAUUGGCCCAAUUCUUUAGGGAGAUGGCCAUAGAAAUGGUUGCUACUCAAGUCGAGAGAGAGUAGAAAUGAAAGAUUUCCAAGAUGUGGAGGGAUAGUACCCCUAAGAUUCAUGCUUGUAAGAUUCAAAGCUGUAACUCUUUUAUGGAGGAUGCCACAAGAGACACCAAUCCAAUUGCAAGCAGAGGUUGAGGCCGUCCAAUUGUUUGCCAAGACAUUUUGAGGACCGGCAAUGCGAUCCUUAAACUCGAGAAGUGCAAACUGAUCGGAGUUGAGAUUCCUGACCGUCAUAGCCAAGCAAAGUACGGAACAUGGUAUGAAUAAAGCUAAGAGAAUAUGAAAGCAAGUUUUGCAGUUCAUGAUUGCAAGACGGAAUAAGGCAAGAAAAUAAAAAAAGUAGGAAAAGGGAAGUUGAGUUGAUAAAAUAGUUUGGAUGAUGAAGAAAAGCCUAGAGAGCAUGCUUUAAUAUGUUUCAACCCUCGCACACUUGAUAAACUUGAUAAAAAUAUUUUGAUCUAAUAAAUGUAAAAAAAUUUAAACAAAAUAAGGUUCAAAUAAUCUAUUUGUCCUUAUAUUUUGAUAAAAUUUGAGAUUAGUCCUUAUACUUAAAAGGUUAAAAAUAAAGUUUUCUUUUUUAUUUAAAAAUCUUAGUCCUAUCGUUAAUUUUUUUUUGGUCAAAAUUUGUCAACUGUACAUAUUAAUUAGGUUUCCCUUAUAUGUCGUUGUAUAUGACUAACACAAAAUAAGCAAGUUGACAAAUUAUGACAAAAAGUAUCAAAGAUGAUAAUAAUUUGAUUAAAAUUUUUAAAUUGAAUUAAUAACCUUUAACAUAUAAGGAAUGGAUAUCAAAUUUUUAUAGGAAAAAAGGGACUAACAACAUAUUUUAACCACAAAAUAAUACGAGUGAUUAGAAUGAAUCUAAAAUUUUAUAGAAAUAAAAGAGACUAACAACAUAGUUAUAACUUUGAAAAUUAAAAU
RNAcentral lists this long non-coding RNA (84017 nucleotides) under Gossypium barbadense (sea-island cotton). Its description in RNAcentral is "long non-coding RNA (GBAR_LNC016649)". The record is from RNAcentral. Lineage: Eukaryota; Viridiplantae; Streptophyta; Magnoliopsida; Malvales; Malvaceae.